This 57109-nucleotide long non-coding RNA is filed under the name Citrus maxima (pomelo). RNAcentral describes it as "long non-coding RNA (CMAX_LNC000490)". Lineage: Eukaryota; Viridiplantae; Streptophyta; Magnoliopsida; Sapindales; Rutaceae. The record is from RNAcentral.
UGCAAUUAUCACUUGUUUAGUUUCUGUGCUUGCCGUGGUUUACUUGGCAUGGAAUGUGAAAAAAUCAAGGAAAGCAAAUGCUAAACUGCCACCAGGACCUCCCGGCUUGCCUGUAGUCGGAUACCUCCCAUUUCUCGGAACUACUGACUUGCACAAGAAAUUCACGGAAUUAUCCGGAGUUUACGGUCCGAUCUUCAAGCUCUGGCUCGGAAAUAAAUUAUGUGUAGUGGUGAGCUCACCUUCCCUAAUUAGACAAGUGGUUCGUGAUCAAGAUACAACAUUCGCGAACCGUGACCCACCGAAGGCUGCACUAGUGGUCUCCUAUGGUGGCAAUGAUAUUGCAUGGUCCAAUUACGGUCCCGAAUGGAGAAAGUUGCGCAAAUUUUUUGUGGGCAAGAUGAUGAGUAACGCAAGCCUUGAUGCUUGUUAUGCUCUAAGAAAACAAGAGGUUAAAAAUACUAUCAGGGAUUUGUAUAACAACGACAACAAAAUUGGCAAGCCCAUUGACAUUGGUGAAUUGUCGUUUUCAACAUUGGUAUGUGCUAUACAGAACAUGCUGUGGGGUGAAGCGCUUGAAAUAAGAGAGAAAGGGACCACUAAUCUUGGGGCUGGGCUAAAAUUUAAGCUGGCAGAACUCAUGGUGCUUGCGGGAACACCGAAUAUUUCGGAUGUCUUUCCAAUGCUUUCAUGGCUUGACAUACAAGGUAUAGAGAGGAGAGCAAAGAAGAUUUCACUCUGGCUUGAAAAUGUUAUAAAUUCUACUGUUGAACAGCAUAGAAACAAGGAGUCAACUGUUGAAGGUGAAGAAAGAGCGGGGAAAAAUUUUGAAGGAUCAAGGAACAAGAACUUCUUGCAGUUACUAUUGGAGCUUCAAGAAAAUGAUGACAGUGCUUCCUCAAUUAGCAUGAACCAAUUCAAGGCCGUACUCAUGGUAUGUUAAGUAACUAGCAACGAACAGUUAUACAAGCACAGUUGUAUAUUUGCAUGAGUGAUAUUUUCAACCUUUUUUUUUAAUUAGAAUUUUAUUGUCACCUUUUGGACAGGAUAUAAUUACGGCUGGAACCGACACCACAGCUACGAUGGUGGAAUGGACAAUGGCAGAGUUGAUGCAGCAUCCACAAGUAAUGAAGAACGUUCAGGAAGAAUUAGCUCAAGUUGUGGGCAUGGACAGUUGUGUUGAAGAAUUUCACCUGUCUAGAUUAAAGUAUUUAGAUGCUGUGGUGAAGGAAACAUUUCGUCUGCAUCCUGCAGUGCCUUUAUUAGUACCACGCAGAGCAAGCGAGAGUGGCAGCAUUGGUGGCUAUACCAUUCCCAAAGAUACAACUCUUAUGUUGAAUGUUUGGGCUAUCCACAGGGACCCUCACCUUUGGGAUAAUCCCUUAGAAUUUCGACCCGAGAGGUUUCUGAAUGUUGGUGUCGAGAGUAAGUUCGAUUACUCAGGUAACAAUUUUCAGUACUUGCCAUUUGGUUCUGGUAGAAGAAUGUGUGCUGGGAUUCCUCUAGCUGAGAGGAUGCUGAUGUUUGUUUUGGCUUCGUUAUUGCACUCAUUUGAGUGGGAAUUGCCAGCUGGCACAAAGCUAAACUUAUCUGAAAAAUUUGGGAUUGUCAUUAAGAAAAAAGAGCCUUUGGUUGCUAUUCCAACACCAAGACUAUCCAAUUCAGAGCUCUACCAUUAAGACAAAAUGGUUGUGAUGAUUUUGUUAAUUUUCCGAAGAUUUGUAUGUUAUUUAGUUCAAUCGUAAUAAAAUAUUUCAAAUAAGAGUCCUCCGUUGCUUUUUUUUUUUUUUUUUUUUCAACGGCAUAAUCUGUCGUCAUGCUUGUAUUUGGAGCUACUUUGGAAUAAUUAUGUUUGAAUUACAAUUUAUAAAUAUUUACGUUUUAAAUUUUUUAUAAGAGUCUAAAUUUAUACACGUUUAAUAUCCCGCUUCAUAGAUAUUUAACACAAUUUAUAUCAUACAUUGUAUACCCAUUUGUCAUAAAUUAUACUAUUUUGUAUCUCUAAAUAAUAUUACGUAUUGAUAUUAUAAUAUAUAUAUAUAUGUUUAUCAAAAGACUAUACCAUUCAAUAUAUAUUGAAAAGAGAACAAAGAAGAUUUUCUUAUGGUUUAAAAAUAUUAUGAAUUCUGCUGUUGAACAGUAUGGAAACAAGGUCUCUGUUGUUAAAGGUGAAGAAGCAACAGGGAACAAUAUUGAAGGAAGAAAUUUCACAUGUUUAGUUGCUGAAUUUGCCGCUGUAUUCUAUCGGUAGUAGAGUUUUUAUUUUUCUCUAUUAAUUUAAGUCAAUUUUCUAUAACAAAUUCGGUUGAGUUUAAUUGUGUUAUAAUAUAAAUUGAAUGAUAAUAGAAUUUUCAACAAAUAUUUCAAUAUUUCUAUCUCGAUUGUUGAAGUGCCAUUUAUUUGUUAUGCGAUCGAUUUUAAAAUUUAUAAAAUUAUUUGUUACUAAAUUGCAUCAUAUGCUAAAAUCACCUGAAACCUAAUUCCAUAACUAACCCUUUAUUUUUAGUUCUCAAGAAAUCUUGUAAGAACAAAAAUCUUUUAUAACAAAACUUUUACAACACAUUAAUUUGUAACUCAUUCCUGUGCGCGAAUCACUCUCAAUUUCCUUCAAUUGCUGUUUAACAAUCAUCUACUUAUCAAAAUUCAAGCAUAAUCUUUUUUUUUUAAUUUCUUCAUCAUUCUUUAAAAAAAAAAUCAGGAUAUGCUGUUAAAUUUUGAAAUAAAUAAAUUAACCAAAGUUGGUUGAUGUGAGUGGUUCAAUGAUGAGCAUAAUUUAUAUACAUAUUUUACCUUUAAUUAUAUAAUUAUUAGUUAUUUUUAUUAGUUAUUUUUAAUUAAUUGAAUUAUUUUAUUGCAUAGAGAAUUAAUUGGAGAUUGGGAAACAAAAAGUGCAUAAAGAAUAACAAGUUUGGGAAAGCAUCAAUCAAAGCCGUGACGCAAUUAAGAGUUUAUAGCAUAUGAAGCCAAGAGUAAUUUGCACUCAAAAAGAAUUUCAAUUAUUCAAGUGACCUGGACCUGCAUGGCAUUGUAAUGCAUGGAAAGCAACUUAAAGGGGCCCACACUUGGCUUUUACAAUUGGAAAAAGGAAUCCUAGUGCAAGCUUAAUUGAUGAGCACGUGAGUGAGAGCAAAGAAAAUUAAAAGGCCAAGCCUUUUGGCUUAAGGAAAUAACAAGGUCGGUGGGGCCCAUUUUAAAGAGUAAUAUAAAAGCAAGCUUUUGGCUUUUGGAGAGAGGAGCCGCGAGAGGAGGAAAACGCAAGACAAAGAGAAGAAAAUCUGCAGCAGUUCGGCUUCUAUGGUUGGUUUUAUCUCUUUUGUUACUCUUAAUUCAAAUAUGUCUAGUUAAUUUUCUUAUAUUAAAGUUAAGGAUGAAACCCUAUUCAAUGAAAUAAUUAUCUUUUUAUUUAUUUAAUUCCCAUAUAUGUUCUUUAAUGAUUAUGAUUUUUAUUUCACAUGAUUAAUUGGAUGUUAUUAAAAUUUUUUCAUCAAUUCUGUCAUGCAUUAUUGAUUGUUAGGAUUAAUAUUCAAUUAAAUCUAUACUUAGAUUUAUAACGUUUAUACAUGAUUAUCUUUGAUUCUAUGUCUUUCAUUAAAUUGUUUACAUGGAGUGCUUAGGAAAACUUUGACUCUUUGUUAUUCAAUAUGUUCACAUGGGAUACUUAGAUGUCAUACUAUUAAGCGGAAAAAGAACCUAUAUUAGAUUUAAUUAUUUGGGCUUAAUUGUUAUAUCCAUGAGAUGACACAAAUUGAUUUCGAGUUGUCACUCUAAAAUUAGAGAUUAAUGAAUAUUUAGAUAAUUACUAGUUGAAUAGCGGUGGAUUCUGAAACCUUGGUAAUUUCUAUCUUAUUGAAUUCUCCUUUACUUUAAUUGUUUUCUUAGUUUAAUUAAUUUAAUUUCUUUUAAAACUCAAUUUGCUUAACUAGGUUAGAAUUAAUAUUAAUUUUAGAUUUAAAUUAGACUUUUCAAUUUAUAACAAUCCAUGUGGGAUCGACCUCGUUACCACUACUUUAUUUCUAGAUUCGUGCACUUGCGAGUAUAUUAAAAUUUUCACAACAAGUUUUUGGCGCCGUUGCCGGGGAUUGUGCCAGAAAGUCAGUUUAAUCUAGGUUGAUUUGAUUCUUCCACUAGUUAUAAUUUAUGUUGUCUUUUAUUUUAUUAUUAUUUUUAAUUAACAAAAACACACAAAAAAACUUUUAUUUUUCUUUAAAUUCAUUGUUUGGUUGUUUGAUUUCUUUUAUUUUUUAAAUUUUGUUUAUUCUCAUUAUUGUUGGUUUAUUUUAUUUUAUUUUUUUCUUUCCUUGUCUAGUUAGUUUAUGAGUGUUUGGGAAUGUGAUUCAACAAAUCGUUUGGUAAAAGAGAGUCAAAAAUUGAUAGUAGUCAAGUUAGUUCUUCUGAAGUCAUGGAUGACCCAAAUAGAUUAUUGCCAAUACUUCCACCAGUGCAAGCAGAGAAAACCCUUAGAGAAUAUUUUUCACCACUUGCAGCCAACCAACCAUCUUGUAUUGUGUUGCCACAAACUACAGCAACACACUUUGAACUUUUUGAACUUAAGCCCUCAGUCAUCCAACUUUUACCAUCUUUCCAUGGGUUAGAGAGAGAGGAUCCAUAUUUGCACAUUAAGGAAUUUCUUGACAUAUGCUCUACAUUCCGUUUUCAAAAUUUUAAUGAUGAGUUAAUCAGGCUUCGUAUGUUAUCUUUCUCAUUAAAAGACAAAGCAAAAGCUUGGUUGAAUUCGCUUUCUGCUGGGUCUAUAACUACGUGGGAUGAAUUGAAUAAUAAGUUCCUCACCAAGUUUUUCCCUAUGUCUAAAACAAAUGCCCUUAGGAGAGAGAUAAGUGAUUUCUAUUAAAGAGAGGGUGAGCAAUUUUAUGAGUGUUGGGAAAGAUUCAAUGAUUUACUCCUCAAGUGCCCCCACCAUGGUUUUGAGAAAUGGAGACUUAUACAAUGCUUUUAUAACGGUUUAACCAUGUCGAAUCGUCAUAUGGUAGAGUCUAUGAAUGGUGGGAGAUUUUUGAACCUACAUGAAGGGGCUGCAUGGGAUUUCUUUAAUUCACUUUCUGAGAAUUCUCAACAGUGAGAUUUUUCAAGCCAAAGGGAAAAAUCAUCUCAAGUUUCUAGAAAGGGGUUAUAUGAAGUUAAGGAUGAUUUUGAUGUGAAAUCCACUCUAAUUACACUUUCUAGAAAAGUAGAUGCCUUAGCUCUGAACCAAUCAAUGAAUCAUCAUCCUAGUGUAGCUAAUGAGGUUUGUGCUAUUUGUUCUAACUUGUCUCAAACAGCACAAAACUGUCCAUCAUUACCAGUCUAUCCAGAGGCUUAUUCUGAGCAGGUACAUGCCUUACAAUCAUAUGAGAAAACCUCCAAUAAUACAUAUUCACUCACAUAUAAUCCUAAUUGGAGGAAUCACCCUAAUUUUUCUUGGAAACAAAAUCAAUCUUUGUCAAACCAAGGAGGACAACAAUUUAACAUGCCCAAUCAACAAUUUGUCCCUCCUAACCAAGUAUAUCCUCCUGCCCAACAACCUAUAUCUCAAUUUGUUACACCCCAACAAAGAAAACCUUCUUUAGAGGAUACACUUCAAAGUUUCAUUCAGUCAACCUAAUAAGCUUUUCAGUCAAACACUCAAGCUAUUCUAAAGCUUGAACAUCAAUUGGGUCAAUUAGCAACUACUGUAGCGGAGAAAGAAAAAAGAAAAUUCCCCAGUCAAUCAAUUCCUAAUCCUAAAGGAGUGCAUGAAGUUGGAUCGAGUUCAAGCCAUCAGCAUGAAGAAGCAAAAUCAAUUAUGACCUUGAGAAGAGGAAAAUUGUUUGACAACAAAGUGGAGGUUCAAACAAAGAAGACAUCUGAGCCUACUUCUUCAGAUCCAAUUACAUCACAAGAAUCAUCACCAAAUGAUCUUGAAGAGAGUGACCCGCUAGCUUACAUUCCCAAGGCUCAUUUUCCUCAAAGGUUAACAAAGGUAAAGAAAGGGACUUCAACAUGUGAGAUUAUAGAAAUCUUCAAGCAGGUAAGUAUAAACAUCCAUUUACUCGAUGCUAUUAAGCAAGUUCCUUCCUAUGCCAAGUUUUUGAAAGAUUUAUGCACUAAAAAGAGAAAUUUGCAUGUCACUAAAAAGGCGUUUUUAACUGAACAAACUAGCAAUUUACUUCAAUGUAAAAUGCCACCAAAAUUUAAGGAUCCUGGUUCUCCUACUAUUUCAUGUGUUAUAGGGAACCAAUGUUUUGAUAAAGCAUUAUUGGAUUUAGGUGCUAGUGUUAAUCUCUUACCUUAUUCCAUUUACAUGCAGCUUGGACUAGGUGAGUUAAAAUCAACUCCUAUUAUUUUGCAACUUGCUGAUAGGUCAAUGAAAAUACCUCGUGGUAUUAUAGAGGAUGUGUUGAUACAGAUUGACAAAUUUUAUUAUCCUGUUGAUUUUAUUGUUAUUGAUACUCAACAUGUACAUGAUCUUAAGAAACACACUCCACUUAUUCUUGGUCGUCCUUUCUUAGCUACAGCUGAUGCUCAUAUUAGUUGCAGGACUUGAAACAUGCAAUUGUCUUUUGGUAACAUGACCAUGGAAUUAAAUAUUUUUAAUGUUCCCAAGCAGGCACAAGAAGAUGAUGAAGUCGUUGAAGUAGAUAUGAUAGAAGCAUCAAUUGAUGACUCACUUAUUUCUAACCAUUGUGACAAUCCAUUAAUACCUUGCACAACUGACUCUGAUUUCUCUAUUGAUGUUGAUAGUGAUAUUGAAGAAGUUAAUGCUUUACUUGAUUCGACUCUUAUCAUAGAUCUAAUUAAGUGGAAAGAAAAGAUAAGAUUGAGCCACUUCCUCCUGAAGAGAAAAGUGCAACAUAGGUCACAUUCUGACAUAAAAAAGGUGGUAAGAUCUAAAACGCUUAAAUUAUUAGAUUUUUAUACUACUUUAGAUAACUCUCAGGAAAGCUUAGAACAGAAGAGAUCAAAGCAAUGCGAUAUUGAGGAGUUUCAUUACCAUCAUCCUUUUAUGGAUAAAAUGCUCCAGUGCUUAAUCAAUUAUGCUUUUUGGUAUUUUCUAUAUAAUUGCUUUAAUUUUCACCAAAUUCUUAUUGAUCCUGGUUGAUUUGUUGUUUACAUUAAUUAGUUAGUUAGUCGGAUUUUUUUAUUAUUAUUUAUAUUUCUUCUAACGUUUUCUUUUGAGUUGUCAUUCUUUUAAGUUUUCCUAGCUCAGUCAGGUGUGUUCUCUCCAACUUUCUCUUUUAUUAUUUAUGUUUUUAUUUUUCAUCUUUUUGCGUGCAUAUCUUUUAUUUAUGACACAUUGAGGACAAUGUUCCGAAUAAGUUUGGGGGUGGGAAUAAUGUUGCUUUGUUUGUUAAAAAAAACUAAAAAAAAAUUUCAAAAAUUCAAAAAAAAAUUGUGUUUUUUUUGUUUUUACGUGAAAAGCCAAUGAUAAAAACUUGAUUGACAAUGAAUAUGGUUUUUAGAAAGGGUUUAAUAUUGUCUUAAUUUAUACUUGAUUCUUAUGUUAGUUCCUCUUGAUUGAGAUUCUUUAAAAUAUAAGCACUAAUAUCAAUUCUUUCAUAAUUUUGACUUGAAAUUUGAGAUUGACGCAGCCUGAGUUGAGAAUUUUAGAUAGAGUAAAUGACUGUUUGUCUUUAUUCUUAUCUCCACAAUACAAAAUAGUAUACACAGGCACCAAAGUCAGAAAUAACUACCUAUAAUCCUUAAGAGUGAAGCUAUCCUUGAGUAAUUUAGGCCUAUGUACCACAAGUAUGUAGAGGAUAAUCUACCAUGAGAAGAAUGCUACCUUAAGGGGUAGAGUGAAAGCUCCUGACUAUGGUUAAAAAAAAAAGAAGAAGAAAAAGAGAAAGAAAAAAUCAAAUCAAGUGCAUGUGCUGAAAAAAAAAUCAAAAGAAAAUGCACAUAAAAGCCUGUGAAAAAAAAAUUGGAGAUUAAGAUGAUAAGAUUAGCUUGACCUACUCUUUUCUUUUUUUGAGGCGAAGGUUGUUGAUAUUGAAGAUUUUAGGAAUGAAUUUGAUUGAAUUGAUUUCACACACACACAACAAGAAUCGAAAGAGAGAUGGGAUUGAUUAUUGAAUUAAAGUUAGAACUUUGCCAAUAUUUGAAAUUUUGUUUGAGCUAUAUAAUUUAUGCAAUCUUUGAGGGUAUUUUCAUAUUUUAUUUAAAGUUUUUUUUUCUUUUUAUUUUAUUUUAUUUAUUUUUUAUUUUUUUAAAAUGAUGUUUGUGGGUGUCAUCACUGAAGCUCUCACGAGACUAUAACUCGUCCACUAGGGGUUUAAAGGCUUGUUGCAUACGCUAAAUGCAAUCGCGAUUACCUGCGAAAAUGGUUUAGUUAGGAUUUACUUUUUGUUUUGUUAUUUUUUUUUUUUUUUUUAGUUUUAGCUUUGCUCGAGGACUAGCAAAAUCUAAGUUUGGGGGUAUUUGAUGAGCAUAAUUUAUAUACAUAUUUUACCUUUAAUUAUAUAAUUAUUAGUUAUCUUUAUUAGUUAUUUUUAAUUAAUUGAAUUAUUUUAUUGCAUAGGGAAUUAAUUGGAGAUUGGGAAACAAAAAGUGCAUAAAGAAUAACAAGUUUGGGAAAGCAUCAAUCAAAGCCAUGACACAAUUAAGAGUUUAUAGCAUAUGAAGGCAAGAGUAAUUUGCACUAAAAAAGAAUUUCAAUUAUUCAAGUGAUCUGGACGUGCAUAGUAUUGUAAUGCAUGGAAAGCAACUUAAAGGGGCCCACACUUGGCUUUUACAAUUGGAAAAAGGAAUCCUAGUGCAAGCUUAAUUGGUGAGCACGUGAGUGAGAGCAAAGAAAAUUAAAAGGCCAAGCCUUUUGGCUUAAGGAAAUAACAAGGUCGGUGGGGCCCAUUUUAAAGAGUAAUAUAAAAGCAAGCUUUUGGCUUUUGGAGAGAGAAGCCGCCAGAGGAGGAAAACGCGAGACAAAGAGAAGAAAAUAUGCCGCAGUUCGACUUCUAUGGUUGGUUUUAUCUCUUUUGUUACUCUUAAUUCAAGUAUGUCUAGCUAAUUUUCUUAUAUUGAAGUUAAGGAUGAAAUCAUAUUCAAUGAAAUAAUUAUCUUUUUAUUUAUUUAAUUCCCAUAUAUGUUCUUUAAUGAUUAUGAUUUUUAUUUCACAUGAUUAAUUGGAUGUUAUUAAAAUCUUUUCAUCAAUUCUGUCAUAUAUUAUUGAUUGUUAUGAUUAAUAUUAAAUUAAAUCUAUACUUGGAUUUAUAAAGUUUAUACAUGAUUAUCUUUGAUUCUAUGUCUUUCAUUAAAUUGUUUACAUGGAGUGCCUAGGAAAACUUUGACUCUUUGUUAUUCAAUAUGUUCACAUGGGAUACUUAGAUGUCGUACUAUUAAGCGGAAAAAGAACCUAUAUUAGAUUUAAUUAUUUGGGCUUAAUUGUUAUAUCCAUGAGAUGACAUAGAUUGAUUUCGAGUUGUCACUCUAAAAUUGGGGAUUAAUGAAUAUUUAGAUAAUUACUAGUUGAAUAGUGGUGGAUUCUGAAACCUUGGUAAUUUCUAUCUUAUUGAAUUCUCCUUUACUUUAAUUGUUUUCUUAGUUUAAUUAGUUUAAUUUCUCUUAAAACUCAAUUCGCUCAACUAGGUUAGAAUUAAUAUUAAUUUUAGAUUUAAAUUAGACUUUUCAAUUUAUAACAAUCCCUGUGGGAUCGACCUCGUUACCACUACUCUAUUUCUAGAUUCGUGCGCUUGCGAGUAUAUUAAAAUUUUCACAACAUUCGGCACUCUCACUCCUUAAGAGAGGUCAGGGGUUCAAGCCUCGCUCUCGUAUGGAGUCACCACUUUGACCAGCACUUUACCCCUUACAGACCGACCCGGUGCGAGCAUGAAUUAGUCUGGGUUGUGGUACGGGCUUAAAGGUGCCUCCCACAAUUGAGACCCACUCAGGACCACCUCGUGGUUCGGACAAAAAAAAAAUUGAAAUAAAUUAUCUCAAAAUAAUUACUAACCAGAAAAAACAAAGGGGUUUAACUAGGUUAUGCAUACCUUUGAAAAUUAUAUGUUGAUCGAUAAGCAUGAUGAUCACGAUUGAGGAGUUUAAUUAAAAUUUAUAAGAUUUUAAAAUUAAUCAGGGUUAAAUUCUAAAUUUUAGAAAGAGAGGUUUUGUGAGAAUGCUGAAAGGGUGUUAAUAGUUCCACUCUUUUUUAAAAAAACCAUAGUCAUCAUUUUUCCCGAUUUCUUCUUCCCAUCUCCAUCUUAUUUAGAAAUUUCCCAGAGCCUUUGUUUCCCACCAUUCAUUUUUCUUCUUUCUAAUUUAAGAUUAUAGUAUUAUAAAAAUAAUUACUCACAUUUUAUCAAACACCUCCAUUAUACCAAGGCCUUGUUUUAGUAGUAGGCUUUUAUUAUCUCAAUAAAAUUGAAAAAACAAAGCUCAAUAAUAUUGGAAAAAAAACCUACCCAUAUUUGUAACUUUAAUUUAUUAUUCUCCAUAGACCUACUUUUUAGCUUUGAAUUUUGUUGGAGCCAUAUAUAAACAGAAUAUGUUGAAAUCAGCACAAAAAAAAAACUAAUUAUAUAAUUUUUGUUCCCAAGGACACGACUGUGUGAUUUUUAAGAAGUUUUGUUUGGCUGGCCACUUAGGUUUAAAUCUUGGUGGAGAUUAGGGGUUAAGAAAUAAAUUUGGACUUUGCACACCCCUUUAACUUUUAAAAAGAAUGAAAAAAACUAAUUAAUUAAUCUUUAUUUUAUUUAUUAAAUGUCAUAAUCAUAUGCAUAUUUUAUUUGUUAUCUUUCUAUUUAAAAGAUAGGAGGGCAAAUAAAACUGAAAUAAAUGUUUAUCCCUAUCUCCAUCUUUCAAGUUCCAUAGUUAGGUGACCAGCUAAAGAAAAUUAAUUGAAAGUUACUCCAUCAAAUUAAAAAAAAUUAUUUAUUUAAUUUGUGGAGAUGUAGAAAAUCAAACCCCAUACCUUUUCGCAUGCAAAAGUGUCAACCUGGUCUAGCUAUGUUGCAACAGUAAACAUAUUUUAAUACAUGACUAUCAUCUUUUAUCCUAAAUACUACUAUAACUAUGGGUUCAGUUAUGCUGUAACUGUGGUAUGGUACCACAGUUGUUUUCAACCAUUAAAUUCAACUUAUAUAACUAUGCAACUGUAGAUCUAACGGCUGAAAGCAACUAUGGUACCAUACCACAGUUGCAACAUAGUUUUGCCCCUAUAACUCAUAACAUUCAAUUGAAAUAAUAAAUGUUAACACUUGGCUAUAAAUAAAGGUUUUGUACUUGAAUCUUCAUGCAUGACCUUCAUUCCUUUAUUGACUUUGCUAACACAGAUUUUGAGGCAUUAAAACUAAAUAAUAAUUGACUUUGUGGGCCGAGGAUGCCAGCAACAAGGAGACCACAAUUAUCACUAGUUAAGUUACUCUAAUUGCCGUUGUCUUAUAUUCAUAAAAUAUUAGUAAUAAGAUUAUUGUAGAAUUUUUUUAUAUUAAAAUUAAGUCAAUUUGUUAUAACAAAUUUAGUUGAGUUUAAUCGUGUUACUACAUACAUUGAAUAAUAAUAGAAUUCUCGACAAAUAUUUCAAUAUUUUUAUCCCAAGCGUUGGAGUGGCAUUUAUUUGUUAGACAAUCGAUUUUAGAACUUAUAAAAUUAUUCGUUACUGAAUUGCACCAUAUGCUGCAUGACCUGAAACUUAAUAAACGGAACGUAGCGUUGGCAACAUUCACUGUCAUGACUUUGUGACAUUAGAAUUAAAUUUUUUUGCACAUUUAAUUUGUUUACUUCCAAAUUAAUAUUUAACAAAAUAUUUUUUCACAUUAUCAAUGGACAAAACUCCAACGAAAAUAACUAUACAAUAUAUGCUAGUAUUGUAUGCCAUAUCAUCUGUAAUUUUGUCAGGAUCGAUCAUUUUAAUUUUUAAGCAAAACUUUUUAUCAAUGGACAAACACCUCACACAGCUUGUCAGAGGCAUUAUUAUGAUGGAAAACUGAUAAACAGUGAACUCGAAACUCAAUUACUACAAGUCGUUUAGAGGAUUCAGUCUUGGAUGACUUGUCACUUGUGGAAUUCUUGAAGCCAGAACCGACAUAAUCUCAGUCGUCAUUCUGUCUUAAGUAAUACACAUGGUUUGCAUGUGUGUUGAAGCUGACUCUUUGCUUGGAUCAAGAAACGACGUCUUUGAGUGCCGUUUCUUAAACACACUUUAAAUCAGCUUGUGUCAAGCACGUGAGGUAGAGCUUUUUGAAUAGAUUUGGCGGGAAUGGUAGUUAGUGUAACAACCCAGAAAUAGAGGUUAAAAGGUGAAGGCUUUGUCAUCAUCUACACAUGAUUUGGGAAACAUUGAGAGUAGAGAAAAAGAUAGAGAGAGAAAGGGGUUAACAAGUUCUUGUUCUCUGUAAAUCGAUUUAUAUUCUUGUAAAGUUUGUGAUCUCAAUUAGUGAAAGACUGUUGCUUUGUUUCCAGUGGAUGUAGGCACCACUUCUUGGUGCUGAACCACUUAUACUUGGUGUCAUAUUGUUUCUUUAAUGCUUUGAUUCUUGCGUGUGAUUGUUGCUGGAUAAUCUGUGCUGUUAAUUCUCAAACCAUUGAUACAGAAUUAAUGUCUUGGGGAGAAUUUGGUUAGUCUUAUCAAAGCCGAAUUCACAACAAAUUGGUAUCAGAGCCCUCUUUUCUGUAUCAAGGUUCAAGAAAUGACUAACAAGGUGGAUCUUGAGAAGUUCAAUGGUCAGAAUGAUUUCAAUAUGUGGAGGAUCAAGAUGGAAGCAUUGUUAAUCACACAAGGUCUGGGAGAUGCCAUUGAUCCAGUCAUUAAGAGUGAAAAUGCAGAAGCCUAUUCUUCAAGAACUCCAGAACAGAUGGCUAAGAUUGAAAAAAAGGCAAGAAGCACCAUCAUCCUCAGUCUUGGUGACUUAGUGAUAAGGGAAGUUGCCAAGAAAAAGACUGUUGCUAGGCUCUGGGCAAAACUGGAACAAUUGUAUAUGACAAAGUCCUUAGCAAACAGGCUAUACAUCAAGAAAAAGAUGUUCUCACUGAGGAUGAUUGAAGGAGCAUCACUUGAUGAACACAUAGAUGAGUUUAAUAAAGUUUGUGAUGAACUGGAAACAAUUGAUGAAGGACUGAGUGAUGAGAGCAAGGCUUUGCUGUUAAUCAGUUCUUCACCAAAAUCAUAUGAACAUUUUGUGGAUGCCUUGUUAUAUGGAAGGCAAUCACUCUCCUUGGAAGAGGUUAAAUCUACUCUUGGUACCAAGAAGUUAAAAGAAAAACAAGAUAACUCAGAGAGUGAAUCAAGUGAAGGGCUGAUGGCAAGGGGCAGAUCUGAAAAAAAGGAGUACAAAGGAAAAAAACAAGGGAGAUCAAAGUCAAAGCAGAAACAUUUGAAGUGUUUUCACUGCCACAAAGAAGGGCAUUUCAAGAGGGAUUGCCCUGAGAGAAAAACAAAGCAAAAGGAAUCAAAAGACAAAUCUGGAAAUACAGCAAUAGCCACAGAAGAAACCAGUUUUGAGAUAGCUGAAGUCCUCAUUGCCACAAAAGAAAAAAACUCAAGGUCAGUGGGUACUAGACUCUGGAUGUACUUUUCAUAUGAGUCCAAAUAGAAAUUACUUUACUACAUAUCAGUCCUGUGAUGGGGGUAUGGUGCUGAUGGGAAAUAAUUCAGUUUGUAAAGCAGUUGGGAUUGGGACUGUAAGCCUUAAGAUGUAUGAUGGCAUGGUUAGAGAACUAACUCAGUUUAGGCAUGUUCCUGAGCUUAAAAGGAACCUAAUAUCUAUUGGCAUGCUUGAUCAAACUGGAUGUGUCAAUAAGGCUGAAAAUGGGUCAUUGAAAGUUAUCAGAGGCUCAAUAGUCAUAAUGAAAAGUUCCAAGCAAAAUGGUUUGUAUGUGUUGAAUGGACAUACAACUGUUGGAGAGGCAAGUGUCACUGAGAAGAGUGAAGACAAAGCAAGACUAUGGCACUUGAGGUUGGGGCAUAUGAGUGAAAGGGGAUUGAAGGAGCUUCAAAAGAAUGGGGUGUUUGGAAGUGACAAGCUAAGUUCUUUGGGGUUCUGUGAAGACUGUAUCCUAGGGAAGGCUUCCAAUCUCAAGUUUGAAUCUGCAGUUCAUUCUACCAAAGAGAAGCUUGCAUAUAUACACUCUGAUAUGUGGGGGCCUGCACAGGUAAAUUCUCUUGGUGGCUUUAAGUAUUUCUUAUCCUUAAUAGAUGACUAUUCAAGGAUGGUUUGGGUGUAUGUACUCAAAACCAAAGAUGAAGCUUUGGAAAAGUUUUAGAGGUGGAAAAUUCUGGUAGAAACACAGACAAGUUUGAAAGUAAAAGCUCUAAGAACAGAUAAUGAAUUGGAAUUCUGCAACAAAGAGUUUGGAGACUUUUGUAAAAGACAUGAGAUUAUGAGGCACAAAACAGUCAUACACACACCUCAGCAAAAUGGUUUUGCUGAGAGAAUGAACAGAACCUUAAUGGACAAGGUGAGGUGUAUACUGCUAUACUCAAAGCUGCCUAAGUCACUCUGGGCAGAGGCCUUAAACACAGCAUGUUACUUGGUAAAUAUAAGUCCAUCUACAGCAAUAGAAUGCAAAACACCUAUCGAGCUAUGGUCUGGAAGGGUUGCAGAUUACUUUAAACUGAGAAUCUUUGGAUGUGUUGCUUAUGCAUAUGUCAAACAAGGCAAAUUGGAGCCAAGAGCUUUAAGGUGUAGAUUUCUAGGAUACCCUGAUGGAGUUAAAGGCUAUAGGCUAUGGUGCAUUGAUUUGAAGCCACCAAAAUGCAUUAUCAGCAGGGAUGUAACUUUCAAUGAGUCAGAAAUCUUGAACAAAUCCAAAACCACUUAAUCCAAAGAUCAUAUAUCAGAAACAAGACCUGGGAGUGUUCAGUUUGAGGUGGAGUCCUAUGAACAAGAUAGGACUGAAUCAGAAACUGAAGGAGAUUCAGGAAGGGUUACUGAUGGAUUUGAUGUUGUUCAGGAGUCAGAGCCAGCUGAGAAUGAAGAUAAUUCUUAUCAGUUGGUCAGGGAUAGAAAGAAGAGAGCUGUAAGACCACCUAAGAGGUAUACAAUAGCAGAUUUCAUAGCUUAUACAUUAACAGUUGCACAAGAGGUAAAUGAGGAAGAGCUAAGAACCUAUAAAGAAGCUAUAAACAGCAUGGAUAAGAUGAAAUGGAAGGAGGCUAUGGAUGAGGAAAUUGAAUCACUAAUGAAAAAUGGAACUUGGAAGCUGAUAGUUAGACUAGAAAAAAGGAAGACUGUUAGCUGCAAAUGGAUCUUCAAAGUUAAGGAAGGUAUAUCUGAUGCUGAACCUAGUAGGUUUAAAGCUAGGCUGGUAGCAAGAGGCUUCACACAAAGAGAGGGGAUUGAUUUCCAUGAAAUCUUCUCUCUAGUUGUGAAACAUGCCUCCAUCAGAGUCAUCUUAGCUUUAGUUGCCAUUCAAGACAUGUACCUGGAGCAUAUGGAUGUUAAAACAGCCUUCCUGCAUGGUGAAUUACAAGAAGAAAUUGUAAUGGAACAGCCUGGGGGGUAUGUGGUGUCUAGUAAGGAAAAUCAUGUGUGCUUACUAAAGAAAUAUUUAUAUGGAUUAAAGCAGUCUCCUAGGCAAUGGUACUUGAAGUUUGAUAGUUUUAUGACAAAACAUGCCUACAAGAAAUGCAAUUAUGAUUGUUGCGUGUACUUUAGGGACAUUGGUGAUGGAAAGAUGAUUUAUCUUAUGCUGUAUAUGGAUGACAUGCUUAUAGCAUGUCACAGCAUAGAUGAAAUCAGUCAUUUAAAGAAUCUCUUGAGCAGUGAAUUCGAUAUGAAAGAUCUUGGAGCUGUAAGGAAGAUCUUAGGUAUGGAAAUUAUCAGAGACAGGAGAAGGAAGCUUAUGUUUUUAACCCAACAGAGCUAUGUUAAGAAGGUGUUGCUUAGAUUUGGGAUGCAUGAAUCCAAGUCUGUUCAAACACCUUUGGCAAAUCACUUCAAGCUGUCUGCUGCACAUUGUCCACAAACUGAUGCAGAGCAAGGAAAAAUGGCAAGGAUACCUUACUCCAGUGCAGUUGGGAGCCUCAUGUAUGCCAUGGUUCUCACUAGACAUGAUAUCUCACAUGCUGUGAGUAUAGUGAGUAGAUUCAUGGCAAAUCCAGGUUAUGAGCAUUGGAGGGCAGUCCAGUGGAUAAUGAGGUACCUGAAAGGCACUAUGGAGUUUGGUCUGCUAUAUGGAGGGUUAAAACAGGAAGGGCACAAGCUGGUGGGGUAUGUUGACUCAGACUUCGCUGGAGAUCUUGAUAAAAGGAGGUCUCAGACAUGUUUUAUAUUCACUUUGGGAGGCUGCACUGUGAACUGGAAAGCUACUCUGCAAAGUGUGGUAGCUUUGUCCACAACUGAAGCCGAAUAUACAGCAGCUGCAGAAGCUUUUAAGGAAGUCAUCUGGUUAAAAGGAAUGGUCUCAGAGUUAGGAGCAAAACAAGAAACAGUUGAAGUAUACUGUGAUAGCCAGAGUGCAAUACAUUUGAGUAAAAACCAGACCCAUCAUGAAGGAACAAAACAUAUUGAUGUAAAGCUUCAUUUUGUAAGACUUGAAGUUUCAAAGGGAACUGUGAAGAUGCUCGAGGUUCACACUGAUCAAAAUCCAACCGAUAUGUUGACUAAAGCUGUGCCUUCUGCCAAGCUCAACUUCUGUUUGAGCUUAGCAGGAAUUUGCAGUUUCUGAUCAGCUGCAAAAGAAAGGGAAUAAAGUAUACAGGAGUAGCUAGAGUUCAGAGUUCACACUGAUUAAAAGGUGCAGGCUUUGUCAUCGUCUACACAUGAUUUGGGAAACACAGAGAGUAGAGAAAAAGAUAGAGAGAGAAAGGGGUUAACAAGUUCUUGUUCUCUGUAAAUCGAUUUCUAUUCUUGUAAAGUUUGUGAUCUCAAUUAGUGAAAGAUUGUUGCUUUGUUUCCAGUGGAUGUAGGCACCACUUCUUGGUGCUGAACCACUUAUGCUUGGUGUCAUAUUGUUUCUUUAAUGCUUUGAUUCUUGCGUGUGAUUGUUGCUGGAUAAUCUGUGCUGUUAAUUCUCAAACCAUUGAUACAGAAUUAAUGUCUUGGGGAGAAUUUGGUUAGUCUUAUCAAAGCCGAAUUCACAACAAAAACUGUAAUGGUAUAUCUUGAAUUAUUGGUAGAAUAGUUCUUUGGAGCAAUAAAAACAGAUAAGACAGAUGAGAAAAUUGUCAAUACCCCACCGCAAAAGCAAAAGAAAACAAGGAAAGGAGACAAAAGAGGAAGAAGAAAAAGAAAAAAGAACGAAGAAAAAAAUGGUGCCGUGCGGUAUAGGCAAGAAGAAAAAAUAAUAAAAAAUAAUAAAAUAAUAGUGCACAACAAUCAUUUGAUUGCUAUAAAUAAAAGGCGUUUCCCUCAUUUUAUUCAUCGAAUUCUUCAGUUCCUUUCAAGCGAUUUAAGAGUCUAGUGAUUUGAGAGUUUGGGUGUAGUAUGAUUUUGGGUAGUGAGCUAAAAUACUACAAUACUUGUAACUCAUUUUUAUUAGUAAAAUAUUUUCCUUCUGACUUCGCCCGUGGACGUAUGCUAAAAGCCGAAUCACGUAAUUUCUGGUGUCCCUAUGUGAUUAUGUGUCUCAUUAUUUCUUAAUUUCACUUUAGUUGCGUGUCUGCGACACCCCUCAAUUUAUUAACAAAAAAUGGCCAAAAUUAUAUAAGUGACCCAAAUUUUUUUGUUAUUUCCAAGAAAUCCCCAAUCUGAAUGGGCUAGACCAGAGGGAGGCAAGUUAGAAAUACAUUUCCUUCAUAGACAAUAACAGUGAUGAGUCGAUGACAUCAAGCCACGUCGGUAUCAAUAUUGAAUUAAAGGUGCAAUUAUUCAGCCAAUGAACCUUACACAUCAAGAUAAAAGUCAAGAAAAUGAAAAUUUAUCCCAAUUAAAACACUUUCUGGCUGCAUUUAGUUGUUUCCAUUAGAAGUUAAAAACAACGUUUCUUUCGUUUUGUGGGCAACUCAACUGAGUUAGCUGGCUUCUAGUGCUAGUAUGUGAAAAUAGAAGGCUAAUGAUUUAUUUAUUAUCUUUUGACAAAAUUAUUAAAGAUAUAAUAGAUUUUCUAUGAUACAAGUGAAAAAUCACAUCAACAUAGCUUUCAAUCUACAGCAGCUAGCGUUUACCAAACACUUUGUUGUAGCUUUUAAGCUAUAGCUGCCCAACCUCAAUCUCAAACGCACCCUUAAUAGGUUGAUUGAAUUUGUGAGAUAUGGAUUCCACAUAUCUCAUGACCUAGUAAUUAUACAAGUGGUUCGUGAUCAAGACACAACAUUUGCUUCCGGCCUAGUGACCCAGCAAUCGCUGCACUGGUCGCCACCUAUGGUGCCGACGAUAUUGCAUGGUCCAAUUGUGGCCUUGAAUGGAAAAAGUUGAGCAAAUUAUUUGUGGACACGAUGAUAAGUAACGCAAGCCUUGAUGCUAGUUAUGGUCAAAGAAAACAAGAGGUUAAGAAUACUAUCAGAGAUAUUCAUAACAACAAAAAGGAAAAAAAAAAGGCAUUUGCAAGCCCAUUGAUAUUGGUGAAUUGUCGAUUUCAACUUUGGCAUGUGUAAUCCAGAACCUGCGCGCUGUGGUAUGGCGCUGGCACGCUUGCAUUAACGAGGGGACAAGUCUUGGGGCUGAGCUAACAUUUAAGCUCGCAGAACUCAUGGUGCUAAUGGGAACACCAAAUAUUUUUUUGACAUAUUUUGGUGCUUUCAUGGUUUAAUUCAAGGUAUAGAAAGGAGUGUUGAGAAUGUCAAAUAAAACGGCAUUGAAUGGAAGUUGUCAAAGACACGAUCCGCACCGAACGGCAACGACACGGUUGCUAAAAAUCCUUCCAUAAUAUGCAUAUCUAAUUUUUUAAAAAGUGUAACCUCUGCAUUUAUAAAUAUACUCAAUGUAUAAUGUUUUACUUAAGAAAUGAAAAACUUGUUUGUUCAAGGAGAAUAAAGAAAAUUUUUCUAUGAUUUUUUUAUGGUUUGAACAAAGAAGGUUUUAAUGAGUAUUAUAGACCUCGAUUGAAUGUUCGAAUGUAUAAUAAAAGAGAAACUGUCACAUAAAUGACAAAGAUACUUGGAAAAAAAAAAAGGGCAGCAAUAGAGAAUUAGAUUCGACUGCACAAAUAACUAGUUAAUUCAUCAAUACAUCAUUUUCUUGCUAGAAAAUGACAAUUAUGACAGCAAGCCACGAUAGUGUCAAUAUUGAAAUUGAUUUGCAAUUAUUCAGCCAAUGUGCCUUACACGUCAAGAUAAAAGUCAAGAAAAUGAAAGUUAAUAUCAAUUAAAACACUUCCUGGGCCGCAUUUAGCUCCAGUUUUUGUGGUAGGAAAACAAAGUUUUGUUUUAAAUUCACAUGGUGUGCACUUCCUAUAUAAAUCUAGAGUUGUGUCCCACGUUGAACAAUAAAGGAAAGUCACCUAAAUAUACAUGUAGGAUAAGUUACUUUAUUUAGUAAGUUUGUAUUUUCUUCUUUCUUCUAGUUUACAUAUAAAUUUGAUUAGAUAACUUAACACAUAUUUUAAUACUUGAUCAGAAGCCCUACGUACAGGUGGAUCUAGAAACUUGAUUUCUAAGAGUAAUACUAUAAUAAAAAAAUAAUGAUUCAUAGAACCAAUAUCAAAAUUUGUUUACAAGAUUACCCCCACUCAAAGGUAAUUUUCAUAGAAAUUAAUAGGAAAUUUAAUUGUUAGUGGGGUCAAAUUGCCCCCACACUCUGAAUGUAGAUCCACGCCCGACCCUGAGUCAAGUAUAUUUUGCCACAUAUACUCUGAAUGUCGGCAGGAAAAAUCUUCCACUUUAGUUUAAAAUUUUCACUUAAAAUUUAUUUACGUUAAUAAAGUUGGUAAAGGAAAUGAGUUUAAUUAAAGAAUAUUAUAGGAGAAAUUCUAUUGUUUGGCUUUUAAUAAAUUAAUUAAUAGGUUUAAAAAGAUUAAUAUACAUCAAAAUAUUAUUAGUUGGUGGUGGUUCCACAUCGGACUAAGACGUGGCACCUUACUUGUGAGAUUAAGACAAUCAGGCUUAGACUAUUUAAAUAUGUUUGAAGCUUAGAUGGCACCGCUUCAAUUUGCAUUAAUGAAUGUCAUUCUUUACCCUAAUUACUACGUAAUUGAUAACAUGCAAUUGAAAUAACUAAUAUUAGCACUUGGCUAUAAAUGAACUAAAGGCCGUGCAAUUGAAUCUUUACUUGAUCACUUCAUUCCUUUAUUUUGCUAACACAGAUUUUGAGAUAUUAAAACGAAAUAAUAAUUGAAUCUGGCUUUGUGGGUCGAUGAUGCCAGCAACAACGAGACCACAAUUAUCACUUGUUUAUUUGCUGUAUUUGACGUUGUUUCAUAUUGGUAGUAAUAACUAAUAAGGUCGUUGUAGAGUUUUUAAUCUUUUUUUUUAUAUUAAUCACGAGGUAUCCUGGGGAGGGCCCCAACUGUGGGAGGCACCUUUAAGCUCGUACCACAACCCAGACUAGAAGUCCCCGCUCGAACCGGGAGGCACAGUUUUUAAUCUUUUUUAUAUUAAAGUUAAGUCAAUUUGUUAUAAAUAAAUAAAAAAUUGGUUGAGUUUAAUUAUAUUGCUAUGUACAUUAAAUAAUUAUAAUAUUCUCGAGGGAAAAAGACACCUAGAACCUCAAGGUUUGGGGAAAUGGUCACAAAAACUCCUAAGUUUUAAAAAAGGAACACUAAAAUCUUUUUUUACCCAUAAUACCCUUUGACUAUAGUAAUUAGAAAAUUGACUUUAAAGGUUUUUAAAUAAUACAAAUUUAAUAUAAAUCAUAUAAUCUAUCUAGUACACUAAUAAUAUUAAAUUAUUUUUUAUAUUUAAAAUAAUGUUAAAAAAUUUAAAUUAUUAUAUUUAUUUUAAUAAUAUAUUUAUAAAAUUAUAAAGAUUUUAAAUAAAUCUUUGGAUUGAAUAUAUUUUACAAUUAAAAGUCUUCCUAUUAAUAAUAUUAAAAUUAAAUUUUAAGUAAUAUAUAUUCAAAAUAUUUUUAAUUUAAUUUUAUUUAUUUUAAUAUUAUGUUUCUAUCUAUUAUUAAAAAUUACUUUAAUAUAAUAAAAUAGGUCUAAUAGAUUGAAAAAUAUGAAAAUAUUUUUAAAAUUUUAAAUUAUUUUGAAAUGUAUAUAUUAUUACAUUUAUUUCAAUGUCAUAUUUCCAUUUAUUAUAAAAUUUUGGGGUUAUUUUUUUGGGAAUUUAUAGAGUCAAAGAGCAUUAUGGUUAAAAAAGAGUCUUGGUGUCCCUUAUUGAAAACUUUAGAGUUUUUGUGACCAUUUUCCUAAAUCUUGGGGGUGUUGAAGUGGCACUUAUUGUAAGAUUGAUUUUAAAAUAUGUAAAAUUAAUUUUAUUACAUUACCAUAUGCUACAUCACCUGAAACUUAAUAAAUGGAACGUAGCAUUACUCCACGUUCACCGUUAUGACCUUAUGACAUUAGAAUUAAAAUCUUUCGUACGUUUAAAUUGUUUACUUCCAAAUUAAUCUUUCGUAAAUAUUUUGUACAGAUCUUAUCGGAGUUAGCGUGUUCAUUACAGUGUUUCUUUUCUUUUAUCCUUUCUUUUGAAACGUAUUUCCUGUGGACAAGGAAAGCAAAUAAUACCCUGCCACCAGGACCUCGCGGCUUGCCUGUAAUCGGAUACCUUCCAUUUCUCGGAAUUACUGACUUACACAAGACAUUCACGGAAUUAGCUGGUCUAUAUGGCCCGAUCUUCAAACUCUGGCUUGGCAACAAAUUGUGUGUAGUGGUUAGCUCGCCUUCAACUAGUUCUAUAAGAAUAUCCCUUUUAAGGGAUUCUCUCUCUGCAAAAUUUUUUUAUCUUCUGGUGCAUAAUAAAAACUUAUGCCACUUCAUUAACCACAGAUAUCUUUUGAGGAAACGAUGUUUCGUUUUCUUUUGUUUUUUCCUUCCUAAUCCUCGCAUAUCGUGUGAAGGCUAAUAUAUCCAAGAAUCUAAAUCUCUGUAAAUCUUUUUCUAUCCAAAUCUACAUAAUAAUUUAAUCCAUGCACAAUAUCUAUAAUUAUAUCGGCUGUCGGCUGAUUUCGUGGAGGGGGCGGCAGUUCAAAUUUUUUACGUGCAUGUUGGAUGGACGUCUCUAUUAAAGGAGAGCCACCACUUGCAUGGUAAUUUUUUUAAAUAAAUAUAUACAUUUCAAAAUAUUAUUUCAUUGUUGUAUAGUUAACAUGUCACCUUAGAUGUAUUUUAGAACUUCUCCUAUUAAAGAUAAUCUCAUGCAGUGAUACUUCUCGUGAUCUAAUCAUUAGUAGAAUCUAUAAUUUCGCUACUGUAAUAAAAUCUGUCCCUACCCUAUAUGAAUGUAGAUAUUUGACGCGAUUUGUAAUUGCUUCCGACAGGAAAACAGCAAUAGUUUAAUUGAAAUUUGUGGUAUGGAUUCCACGAAUCUUAUGACAGAAUACUGACCACUCCAACCCUAUCCACAUUUACACGAUUAAAACACAAGCUUAGAUGUGACAAUGCAUUUGUCACUUUUGUUCAAAUUCAUCCUGAAACACUAUACACUAAAUAAUCGAAUAUGGCUUCGUGGGUCGAUGAUGCUAGCAGCAACGAGACUGCAAUUAUCACUUGUUUUGUUGCUGUACUUGUCGUGGUCUAUUUCGCAUGGAAUGUAAACAAAUCAAGUAAAGCAAAUGCUAAAUUGCCACCAGGAUCUCGGGGCUUGCCAGUAGUCGGAUACCUCCCAUUUCUUGGAACUACUGACUUACACAAGACAUUCACGGAGUUAGCUGGAGUUUAUGGUCCGAUCUUCAAGAUUUGGCUUGGGAAUAAAUUGUGUGUAGUGGUGAGCUCGCCUACCCUAGUUAAACAAGUGGUCCGUGAUCAAGAUAUAACAUUCUCAAACCGCGACCCACCGAUCGCUGGAACUGUGACCACCUACGGUGGCAAUGAUAUUGCACUUUCCAAUUAUGGUCCCGAAUGGAAAAAGUUGCGAAAAUUAUUUGUGAGCAAGAUGAUGAGUAAUGCAACCCUUGAUGCUUGUUAUGCUCUAAGAAAACAAGAGGUUAAAAAUACUAUCAGGGAUUUGUACAACAACAAUAAGGAUAAUAUUGGCAGUGGCAAUGGCAAGCCCAUUGACGUUGGUGAAUUGUCGAUUUCAACUUUGGUACGUGUUAUGCAGAACAUGCUGUGGGGUCAAGCAUUGGAAACAAGAGAGAAAGAGAUUACUAAUCUCGGGGCUAAUCUUGCAGAACUCAUGGUGCUACUGGGAACACCAAAUAUUUCGGAUAUUUUUCCAGUGCUUUCAUUGCUUGACAUGCAAGGUAUAGAGAGAAGAGCUAAGAAGAUUUCUCUAUGGUUUGAAAACAUUAUCAAUUCUGGUGUUGAACAGUAUAGAAACAAGUUUUCUGUUGUUAAAGGUGAAGAAGCUGCAGCAGGAAAAAAUAUUGAACGAUCAAGAAAUAAGGACUUCUUGCAGUUACUGUUGGAGCUUCAGGAAAAUGAAGAUAGUGCUUCAUCUAUUAGCAUGAACCAACUAAAGGCCGUGCUCGUGGUAUGUUAAGCAACUAGACACAAAAAGUUGUAAAAGCACAGUGAUAUAUUUGCGCGAGGCCGCGAGUGAUGUUUUGCCUCGAGAACUCUCAAUUUUAUCUUACGGUAAAAAAUGUUUUUCAACUUUUUUUAAUUAGAAUUUUAUUGCAAUUUAUUUAACAGGACAUAAUUGUGGCCGGAACCGACACCACAACUACGAUGGUGGAAUGGACAAUGGCAGAGUUGAUGCAACAUCCACAAGUAAUGAAGAAAGUUCAAGAAGAAUUAGCUCAAGUUGUGGGCAUGGACAGUUGUGUUGAAGAAUAUCACUUGCCUAAAUUAAAUUAUUUAGAUGCUGUGGUGAAAGAAACAUUUCGUUUGCAUCCUGCGUUGCCCUUAUUGGUACCUCGCACGGCAAGCGAGAACAGCAAUAUUGGUGGCUAUACCAUUCCCAACGACACUAAUUUUAUGUUGAAUGUUUGGGCUAUUCACAGGGAUCCUCAACUUUGGGAUAAUCCCUUAGAUUUUCGACCUGAGAGGUUCUUGAAUGAUGAUAUCAUAAGCAAAUUCAAUUACUCGGGUAACAAUUUUCAGUACUUGCCAUUUGGUUCUGGUAGAAGGAUGUGCGCUGGCAUUCCUCUAGCUGAGAGGAUGUUGAUGCUUGUUCUGGCUUCGUUGUUGCACUUGUUUGAGUGGAAAUUGCCCCCGGGCACAAAGCUAGACUUAGCUGAAAAGUAUGGGAUUGUCAUGCGGAAAAAAGAGCCUCUGAUUGCUAUUCCAACACCAAGGCUACCAAAUUCAGAUCUCUACCAGUAAGAUCAAAAUGGUUGUGAUGAUAUUAUUUCCCAUUGUAUUGGAAUAUUUUUGUGUGAUUUGAAGUUCAAUCAUAAUAAAAUAUUUUAAUAAAAUGUCCUCGGUUGCUAAUUUUUCAAUAGUAUACUCUAUCAUCGUUUCUAACUGUCUUUUAGAGCCAUUUGGUCUAAUUUAUUUUUGAAUUAAAAUCCAUAAAUAUUUAAAUUUUUGAAUCAUAUUAAGAAUUAUCUGGAGUGUAUGGUCUGAUCUUCAAGUUCUGGCUUGUAAACAAAUUAGAGUUCUGAUAUUUGCCCCGGGUCAAACCCCGAAAUUAAAUAAAACGGCGUCGUUUUGUUUUUUUUUUUUUUUUUUUCUUUUUUACUUCUUCCAAACGUUGCCAUUUCACUUGUCAUUUGCAAGUGACUCCAUUGAUCCUUAGUUGAAACAGAGUUACACCGUAAAUCUCUUCCUCUUCGUUUCUUCGUUUCACCAGGGAACGAGACAGAUAAAAUCCAGCCAUUCUUCGACAUAACAAGAUAUCGAUUAGAAUCCAACGACAUAACUAUAAACCAUGACAUUGCGCUUGAUUUUGCGAAAUACCGAUUAAGAACCAGUAACUUUGAAUCCAAUGACCGUUAAGAGUUUGAAAUUGGUUUCAAAUGACUAAUGAGUUAUCAGAUUUCUUUGCGUCUACAUUUUCCUUGAAGGUUUCUCAGCAGCCAAACAAAUACAAAGCAAAUUGCAGAAGAAACACAUUUUGUUCCAAUGAAAAAUGUACGGAAACAUUUUAAAUAUGGAAAAUUACCUCAAAAUGAAGGCUCGCAAGAGAUUCGAGCAACAAAUUAGAUCAAAGGAACCGGCGCUGAGCAAGAAAGUGAGCUCAAAGAUUCCGAAACACAAACGUAAAUUCACAAAAAUGCAAAUCUAUGAUGAACGCCAAGAUCAAAAUUUUCGAAGAAAGGGAGCUGAAAAAAUAAAUGAAACGUCAAACUAGAUGACAAUGGAUUUGCUUCUUCAAAGGAGACAAUGAAAUUGUUACUAGAGACAGCUAGAGAAAUAGAGAGAGAGAGAGAGAGAGCUUGAAUUGGCUGUACCCCCACCAGAAAGUGGGUAGUGCCUUUUCCACUUGGACUUGAUAUGCGAAUCUGAAAAAAUCUGAACGAAGGACUGACUCAUCCCAGCUCGAAAGCAAACCAAGCUAGGACUGACUGAAAACGUUGCCGUUUGGAGAAGUUAAAAAAAAAAACUAAACAAAACGACGCCGUUUUGUUUAGUUUCGGGGUUUGACCCGGAAUUUGACCCGGGGCAAACAUCAUUUUCCAACAAAUUAUGCAUGGUCGUGUACACGCUUUCCCUAAUUAAGCAUGAGGUUCGUGAUCAAGGCACAACAUUCACUCCCUGCGACCCAACAAUCGCUACAUUGUUUGCCACCUAUAGUGCCAACGAUUUUGCACGGUCCAAUUAUGGUCCCCAAUCGAAAACGUUGCGCAAAUGUUUUCUGGGCAAGAUGAUAAGUAACGCAAGCCUUGAUGCUUGUUAUGGUCUAAGAAAACAAGAGGUUAAUAUAUAUAUAUAUAUAUAUAUAUAUAUAUAUAUAUAUAUAUAUAAAUUGGCAUUGUCAACUUUUGUAUGUUUUAUUCAGAACCCGCUGUGGGUUGACGCUAGCAUGCUUGCGUUAGGAGACGAGGGGACCAAUCUUGGGGCUGAGCUAAAAUAUAAGCUUGUAGAGAUCAUCUUGCUAAUGGUAAUGUUUUCCGAUGCUGGUUUAAUUCAUGGUAUAAAAAGGAGAACAAAAAAGAUUUUUCUAUGCUUUGAAAAUAUUAUAAUUUUUAUUUUAUAAUUUUUAAUAAAAUCUCUCAUUGAUAGCCAAACAAUUAAAAUUUUUGUAAAGCUUUUGUGGACUUUUGAUCGCGUAUGGUGCCAAUGUAUUGCGUGGUCCUAUUAUGGUUCCAAAUGGAGAAAGUUGCACAAGUUUUUUGAGUACCAGAAGAUCAGUAAUGUAAGCCUUGAUGGUUGUUAUGGUCUAAGAAAACAAGAGGCUAAAAAUUCUAUCUGGGAUUUUUAUAACAACAACAAAAUUGGCAAGCCCAUUGACAUUGGUGAAUUGUCAGUUUCAACCUUGGUAAGUGCGAUUCAGAACAUGCUGUGGGGUGAAACGCUUGAAAUAACAAAGAAAUGGAUUUACUAAUAUUGGGGCUGGGCUAAGAUUUAAGCUUGCAGAACUCACGGUGCUAGAGGGAACACCGAAUAUUUUGGAUAUCUUUCCAGUGCUUUCAUGGUUUAAUAUACAAGGUUUUCAGAGAAUAGCAAAGAAGAUUUCUCUAUGGUUUUAAAAUAUUAUCAAUUCUACUGCUGAACGCUAUAGAAACAACGUCUCUAUUGUCAAAAGUGAAGAAGCAGCAGCAGCAGGGAACAAUAUUGAAGGAAGGAAUAAGGACUUGGUGCAGUUACGCUUGGAGCUUCAAGGUAAAGAAGACAAUGCUUCAUCAAUUAGCAGGACGCAAUUUAAGAGCUUGCUCGUGGUAUGUUGCGCAACUAGCCACAGACAGUUACAGAAACUGAGUUUGGCAGAUUACGACCGUUUCUGGUGAUUACAUAAUUAUUUGUGGCUGUUUUUUUUUUUUAAUUGUAAUUUUCUUAACAGGAUAUAAUUUAGGGUGGAACCAACACCACAACUAUAAUGGUGGAAUGGACAAUGGCAUAAUUGAUACAGCAUCCACAAGUAAUAGAGAAUGUACAGGUAGAACUAAAUCGGGCCGUGGCCAUCGACAGCCAUGUUGAAGAAUUUCACCUAGCUAAGUUAAAAUAUUUAGAUGCUGUGGUGAAAGAAACAUUCUGCACUGUAAUAUAAUACAUGAAUCAUAUGUCCUCUAUUGUUUUUUUAUUUUUCUCUUUUUUUCAAUAGCUUAAUCUAUCAUUAAAAUCUUCUGAAAUUCUAAAUUAAUAUACAUUCAACCUAGAGUUCAAGCCAAAGUUUUAUUGAGCAUUAAAAAAAAAAAAAAUUCUACGACUCAAAAUUUUGUGGAGUAUAAAUUAAAAAUUAUGCGCCUACUAAGAGACAAAAAAUAAAUGAUACACAUUAACCAAUCAAAGGCGAACAAGAGAUUAUUAACAAUAACCUAAUAAUAAAAUUAUAAUGAAUAAAAAAGAAAUGGUACCUAGAAACACAUCACAGCCAUUUAAGCAAUCACUUACCCACAAAAUCCAAACAUAUAAACUAUGUGGGGGGGGGGGGGGGGGGGGGGGGUGUCAUGAUACCUUUGGGUUUCAUGAUAAUCAAAAUUGCAAUACCAUUAAAGACUCAAAAAUAAAAAAAAUCAUAGCCAAUAAAAGAGAAAAAAUAACCCACAAAAAAUCAUCAAGAAAAUAAAUUUGAGACUAAGAGAAGAUAUUAAUUAAACCCUGGGUUGCCUUGGAACCACGGCUUUGGCUUCCAUUUUUCAAUUCUUGGCGACAAGUCAUUUCUUGUUUGUUUACAAAGAUGACGGCUGAUUAAUGAAGCUCUAUUAACAAUGAAUAAAUAAAAAAACUGGCGCCUUGAAAAGACUAACGGUCAUAUUUUUCAACUCCGAAUUAGUGCCGUUUGAUGAGUCCUUGCCAAAACAAUCACUAGGCAAAUAACAAUCAUUUUUCAACCAGCAAAACUCAUUCAUUGUAUUUCACCUUAGUCAAGAUUUAAAAAUUGUUUCAAAAUAAACCUAGUGGUUAGAACCCAAGCGUCACAAUUGUGAGGUCAUGGGUUUGAGCCCCCACAACGUAUUGUGGGGGUUAAUUUUCUUCUUCAAUUUGAGUGAAAACAGUUCUCUCCCUUUCGAAAUGUGGGUGGAGUGGACGUCCCUCAAAUAUUAGAGAGGGUUCAAAUUUGGAUUGUACUAUAUAAGAUUUAUAAAUUAGUCCCAGUAAUUAUCUGAUUGUAAAUAUCAAUAUACUAAUCUAAUUAAAUAUGAGUUGUAAUAUGAGCGUUAGUCUCAUGUAAUUAAAAAAAAAAUGUUUCAAAAUAGGAUUCUUAAAAGGUUGGGGAAAUGGCCAUCAAUAUCCCCAACUUUCCAAAAAGAGACACCAAGACCCAUUUUGACCAUAAUACCCUUUACUUCUAUUAUCCCCAAAAAAUUGACUCUAAUGUUUUAUAAUAAAUAAAAAUAUAACAUUAAAAUAAAUGUAAUAGUAUAUACAUUUUAAAAUAGUUUCAAUAUCUAAAAACCAUUUUAAUAUUUUAAAUCCUAUUAUAUAUAUAUUAAAGUAAAUUUUAUAAUAAAUAGAAUCAUAAUAUUGAAAUAAAUGCAUUAAAAUUUAAAUUAUUUUUAAUAUUAUGUAAAAUAAUAAUUUUAUCAUUAUAAGUAUAUGAGAAUUUUUUUAAUUGUAGAAUGUAUUUAAUGCAAAUAUUUAUUUAAAAUCUCUACAAUAAAUAAAAAUAUACUAUUAAAACAAAUCUCUACAAUAUAUACAUACAUACAUAUACAUUGGCCUGGUAUUUUAUUUUUCAUUUUUUAAACUUAUUAAAUCCUCUAACUAUCAUUUGAUUAUUUUUUUCAAUGAUGAAGAGGCCAUUGCCGGAUAAAUUAUUAAAAUCAACUAGUUCUACAAGAAUGUCCCUUUUUAAAGGAAGAUGAUUCUCUCUCUCGAAAUUUUUUAUCUUGUGCUACAAACUAAAAACUUAUGCCAUUUCAUUAACCACAGAGAUCUUUGAGGAAAUGAUGCUUCGCCCCCCCCCCCCCCCCCCCCCCCCCCCCCCCCCCCCCGCGGCGCCAAAAAGUGUCCUUCCAUAUUUUGUGAAGGCUAAUACAUCGAUGAAUCUAGAUUUCUUUAAAUUUUUUGUUUUACUCAAUUCGAGAUAAUAAAUAGUUUAUCUUUAUUAAAUCUUUACUUUAACAAUGAUAGAUAUUCAAUCCAUGCAAAUAUCUAUCAUUGUAUGAGCUGAUUGCGUGGAGGGAGCGGUAAUUGAAAUCUAAUUGAAAACAGCAGAAGGCUGUUCUUGACAGAUCUCAAAUAUAUUACGGACACGUUGGGAGACAUCUCUAUCAUAGAUAUCCCCAUGCAGUGAUAUUUGUCGUGAUCUAAUUUUUAGUAAAUCUGUAAGAGAGAUUGUAACAUCUUUCAAGUUUUUUGGUUUGAUAUUCUAGACGAAAACGGUUUGUCGUUUCUUGAGCAAACGGCUAACCGUUUAAGUCCAGAGAGCAUGUUUGUUGUUCUGGAUAAAACGGCUCACCGUUGUUGCGAAAACGGCUAACCGUUUAACUCAAGAGAGCAUGUUUUAUGUUCUAGAGAAAACGGCUCACCGUUAUUGAGAAAACGGCUAACCGUUUAUUUACAGAGAGCAACGUAUUUGAUAUUCUGGAAUAAAAUGGCUCACCAUUUAUUGAGAAAACGGCUAACUGUUUAUUUCCAGAAAGGCGUCAAUUAGAAAAACGGUUAGCAAGAAUGAAAAUUUCAAUUGACAAUCGAUGCAAAUUCAAACCAAAAGAGUGUCUUCGAAAAAGUACCAUUUCUAAUGGUUGUAUUCUUUCAAAUAAACAUCUUCUUCAUUAAAGAAAUACACACAAUUAGAUUGAUAAUCAGAUUUUGACAGGUUUCUUAUAUGUUCUGGAAAUACAAUCUUAUUUGCUAGAGAUUGUAUUCAGGAUUUGUUAUAUCUUGGGGGUAAUUUGCCAUUAAAACUAUAUAGCAAACCAAGAUUGGUGAGGGCAAAUAAAACCUUAAAGGAAAGUAUGCAAACACGUCUCAAAUCCUAUGAAACUUUCUUUGUUCUUUGCCUCCAUAUUCUUAUUAUUCACUAACAAAAUCCCCAUGCAGUGAUAUUUGUCGUGAUCUAAUUAUUAGAAAAAUCUAUGAUUUCGCUACUGUAAUAAAAUUUGUCACUACUCUACAUUAAUCUAAAUGUCUGAUGAGAUUUGUAAUUGCUUCCGACGGGAAAACAGUUAAUAGGUUGAUUGAAUGUAUGUGGUAAAGAUUCCACGUAUCUCACGACAGAAUGCUGACCACUGGAACCCUAUCUACUUUUACGCGAUUAAUUCACGAGCUUAGGCACGACAAUUGCAAUACAAAUUAUCCCUUCAUCAUAUAUUUCGUUAAAAUUCAUUCUGAAGCACUAAAACUAAACAAUCGAAUAUGGCUUUGAGGGUCGAUGAUGCCAGCAGCAAUGAGAGUGCAAUUAUCACUUGUUUAGUUUCUGUGCUUGCCGUGGCUUAUUUAGCAUGGAAUGUGAAAAAAUCAAGGAAAGCAAAUGCUAAACUGCCACCAGGACCUCGCGGCUUGCCUGUAGUCGGAUACCUCCCAUUUCUCGGGACUACUGACUUGCACAAGAAAUUCACGGAAUUUAUUUUACUAUUAUAUUUAUAUUCAAAAUAAUUUUAAUUAGCUUUUAAAAUGAAUGAUUUUAGGAAAUUAUAAAUAAAGGUAACUAAGAAUUCUCUUAAUGUAAUAUAUUAUUAAUUAGUUUAAAAAUACAAAUUUAUUAAUUAGAGAAAUUAUUAGUGAAUUUAAAUUAAUGAUCUUAAUGAUUUGUUUGUACGAUUGCCCCCAAUCAAAGGUAAUUUUCCUAAAAAUUAUUAGGAAAUUAGAGAAAUUUAAUUUUUUUAGUGGGUUCAAUUGCCCACACACCCCGACUGAAGCAUUUUUUACAAUAUGUACUCCGUUUGUCGGCAGGAAAAUAAAGGUCUUGACACAUGAUCACUUCACUCCUUUAUUUACUUUGCUAACGCAGAUUUUGAGGUAUUAAAACAAAUAAUAAUUGAAUAUGACUUUGUGGGUCGACGACGCCAGCAACGAGGAGACCGCCAAUUAUCACAUUUUAAGUUUGCUGUAAUUGCCGUUGUUUUAUAUUAGUAGAAUAUUAGUGAUAAGAUAAUUGUAGAGUUUUCAUUUUUUUAAUAUUAAAAUCAAGUCAAUUUAUUAUAAUAAAUUUAGUUGAAUUUAAUCGUAUUACCACAUAAAUUGAAUAAUAAUAGAAUUCUCGACAAUAUUUCAAUAUUUUAAUCUCAAGCAUUGGAGUGGCAUUUAUUUGUUAUACGGUCGAUUUUAGAAUUUAUAAAAUUAUUCGUUGCUGAAUUGCACCAUAUGCUGCAUAACCUGAAACUUAAUAAACGGAACGUAGCGUUGGCACCGUUACUCAACAUUCACUGUUACGACUUUGUGACAUUAGAAUUAAAAUCUUUUCCACAUUUAAUUUGUUUACUUCCAACUUAAUAUUUAACAAAAUGUAUGUUAGCAUUGUAUGCCAUAUCAUCUGUAAUUUUGUCAGGAUCGAUCAUUCUAAUUUUUAAGCAGAACUUUUUGUCAAUGGACAAACACCUCAUACAGCUUGUCAGAGGCAUUAGUAUGAUGUAAAAUUGUAAUGGUAUAUCUUGAAUUAUUUUAGAAUAGUGAAUAACUAUUUGGAGCAAUAAAAACAAAUAAGACAGAUGAGAAAAUGGCUAAAAUUAUAUAAGUGACCCAAAAUUUUUUGCUAUUUCCAAGAAAUCCCCAAUCUGAAUGGACCAGAGGGAGGCAAGUUAGAAAUACAUUUCCUUCAUAGACAAUAACAACGAUGAGUGGAUGACAUCAAACCACGUUGGUAUCAAUAUUGAAAUAAAGGUGCAAUUAUUCAGCCAAUGAGCCUUAGUACACAUCAAGAUAUAUAAAAGUCAAGAAAAUGAAAAUUUAUCCCAAUUAAAACUCUUUCUGGCUGCAUUUAGCUGUUUCUGUUUAGGGAUGGCAAUUUAAUCCGGACCCAGCCCGACCCGGAUGAAUCCAGAAAAUUCGGGGUGGAUUCAACCCGUACCGGAGUGAAUAAAAUCUGAUAUUCAAAUUCAAUAUUUUCAACCCGGACGUUUCCGAGUCCGGAUCCGGAUUUGGGUAAACCCGCAUAUCCGGAACCCGGAUCCGGAUAACUAUUUUAAUAUUAAUUUUUAAAUCAUUUUAAAAUAAAAAAAAAUUAGAAAAAAUCAGCCCUAAUGCCCUUCCACAGCCACGGCAGCCAAACCAAACCCAGACAUUUCCUCUCUCUCUCUUUAGCCCUUCUUUUCAACAAAUCAUCAUCGUUGCUCAUCAUCGUUUCGUCGUGUUCAUCUUCAUCUUCAUCAUCAGCUGCCGUUUGUCCAGCUAUGUCACUAGUUUUGGCCGCCGUUUCCGUUUGUGCACCUUCGCAAAUCGGGAUCUCGAUUUGGCCGCCAACACUUCUACCCCCUGGUGUUUUGCUUUGUCCUCGACAACUUCUUUGUUGAUAAAUUGACGGGCACUUAUGAAUGCAUUUGUCUCUGUUUCUUCAUUUACACCUUCCCAGUUGUUUGUUCAUUUGCUUUUUGGAAGGAAAAAAAAAAAAAAUCAGCCACCAUUUAUCCUUCCCCUUUUCUUGACCUAACCCCACAAAGCCCAAUUUGUCAUCAUCAUUCAUUGGCAAAUUUGUUAUCAUCAUGGUUGAGACAUCAUGAUUAUCUUUGAUAAUUGAAUUUGUGUAAUAUGUUACCUUGGAUUUUAUUUCUAAGUAUUUGAUUUUGAAUUAUUUUCCAUUAUUGGUGUUAAUAGAUAGAAGAUUAGAAAGGAAUUCUUCACUGAAUAAAGAGAUGGGAAAUUGCAUCUUUUAGCAAUCAUCCGGGUUAUAAACCCGGAAUCCGGAAACCAGGAUUUUUCCGGGUUUAACCCAGUCCGGACCCGAAUGAAAAAUAUCCGGGUUUACAUCCGGGUCUGGUAUUAAAAUUUAUCGUCCGGAUCCGGAACAGGGAAGACAAAACCCGGACCCGAACCCACAUUUUGCCAUCCCUAUUUCCAUUUGAAGUUAACAACAACGUUUCUUUCGUUUUGUGGGCGACUUGACUGAGCCAGCUGGAUUCUAGUGCUAGUAUGUGAAAAUAGAAGGCUAAUGAUUUCACGUUCACUAGCCCACCUCCCCUCCUCUCGUUUCCUCUGAAUCAAUUUUCACGUGUGGUACCGAUUGAAAAUAUCUCUGACAUUUCGUGGACAUCUCUAUUGAAAAUAUCUCAGACAUUUCACUCAGGCAAACUUAUUAAUAUAAAAAAUCUAUGAUUUUUUCGUCUUAUACUGUAGAAAAAUUUGUCUAUACAUUAAUCUAGAUGUUUGAGGUGGUUUAUACAUCUGUGGUAUAGAUUUAUAGGUUGAUUGAUACGUCUGUGGUAUAGAUUUUAUGUAUUUCAUUAUCAAAUGCUGGCCUUUGGGACCCUAUCUACAUCUAUUUAUAAAACUAACGGGUGCCAGUUAUGCCAUUACAAAUUAUCCCCUCUUCAUACAUUUCCUUAAAAUUCUUCUGAAACACCAAAACUAAAUAAUCGAAUAUGGCUUUGCGGGUCGAUGAUGCCAGCAACAAUGAGGCUGCAAUUAUCACUUGUUUAGUUUCUAUGCUUGCCGUGGUUUAUUUCGUAUGGAAUGUGAACAAAUCAAGGAAAGCAAAUGCUAAACUGCCACCAGGACCUCGCGGUUUGCCUGUAGUCGGAUACCUCCCAUUUCUCGGAACUACUGACUUGCACAAGAAAUUCACGGAAUUAUCCGGAGUUUAUGGUCCGAUCUUCAAGCUCUGGCUCGGAAAUAAAUUAAGUGUCGUGGUGAGCUCACCUUCCCUAGUUAAACAAGUGGUUCGUGAUCAAGAUACAACAUUCGCAGACCGUGACCCGCCGAUCUCAGGACUAGUGACCUCCUUUGGUGGCAAUGAUAUUACAUGGUCCAAUUACGGUCCCGAAUGGAGAAAGUUGCGCAAAUUUUUUGUGGGCAAGAUGAUGAGUAACGCAAGCCUUGAUGCUUGUUAUGCUUUAAGAAAACAUGAGGUUAAAAAUACUAUCAGGGAUUUGUAUAACAACGGCAACAAAAUUGGUAAGCCCAUUGACAUUGGUGAAUUGUCGAUUUCAACAUUGGUAUGUGCUAUGCAGAACAUGCUGUGGGGUGAAGCGCUUGAAUUAAAAGAGAAAGGGACAACUAAUCUUGGGGUUGAGCUAAAAUUUAAGUUUGCAGAACUCAUGGUGCUACUGGGAACACCGAAUAUUUCGGAUAUCUUUCCAAUGCUUUCUUGGCUCGACAUACAAGGUAUAGAGAGGAGAGCAAAGAAGAUUUCACUCUGGUUUGAAAAAAUUAUAAAUUCUACUGUUGAAAAGUAUAGAAGCAAGGACUUUAAUGUUGAAGGUAAAGAAAGAGCAGGGGAAAAUUUUGAAGGAUCAAGGAACAAGAACUUCUUGCAGUUACUAUUGGAGCUUCAAGAAAAUGAAGACGGUUCUUCCUCAAUUAGCAUGAACCAAUUUAAGGCCGUACUCGUGGUAUGUUAAGAAACUAGCCGCAAACAGUUAUACAAGCACAGCUGUAUAUUUUGCAUGAGUGAUAUUUUCAACCUUUUUUUUUUAUAAUUAGAAUUUUAUUGUAACCUUUUGGACAGGAUAUAAUUACGGCUGGAACCGACACCACAACUACGAUGGUGGAAUGGACAAUGGCAGAGUUGAUGCAGCAUCCACAAAUAAUGAAGAAAGUUCAGGAAGAAUUAGCUCAAGUUGUGGGCAUGGACAGUUGUGUUGAAGAAUUUCAUUUGCCUAAAUUGAAAUAUUUAGAUGCUGUGGUGAAAGAAUCGUCUCGUCUGCAUCCUGCAGUGCCUUUAUUACUACCACGCAGAGCAAGCGAGAGUGGCAGCAUUGGUGGCUAUAACAUUCCCAAAGAUACAACUAUUAUGUUGAAUGUUUGGGCAAUCCACAGGGACCCUAAACUUUGGGAUAAUCCCUUAGAAUUUCGACCCGAGAGGUUUCUAGAUGAUGGUAUCGCGAGUAAGUUCGAUUACUCAGGUAACAAUUUUCAGUACUUGCCAUUUGGUUCUGGUAGAAGGAUGUGUGCUGGGAUUCCUCUAGCUGAGAGGAUGCUGAUGUUUGUUUUGGCUUCGUUAUUGCACUCAUUUGAGUGGGAAUUGCCAGCUGGCACAAAGCUAAACUUAUCUGAAAAAUUUGGGAUUGUCAUUAAGAAAAAAGAGCCUUUAGUUGCUAUUCCAACACCAAGACUAUCCAAUUCAGAGCUCUACCAUUAAGACAGAAUGGUUGUGAUGAUUUUGUUAAUUUCCGAAGAUUUGUAUGUUAUGUCAAGUUCAAUCGUAAUAAAAUAUUUCAAAUAAGAGUCCUCCGUUGCUUUUUUUUUUUUUUUCAACCGCAUAAUCUGUCGUCAUGCUUGUAUUUGGGGCUACUUUGGAAUAAUUAUGUUUGAAUUACAAUAUAUAAAUAUUACAUUUUAAAAUUUUAUGAGAUUCUAAAUUUAUACACGUUCAAUAACCCACUUCAUAUAUGUUUAACACAAUUUAUAUCAUACAUUGUAUACCCAUUUGUCAUAAAUUACGCUAUUUUAUAUCUCUAAAUAAUAUUACAUAUUGAUAUUAUAAAAUGUUGUUAACUCACGUGUGUAUAUAUAUAUAGCAAGUCACGUGCAUAUAUUAUUGGUUGUUAUAUGUUUGCUAGUUUGAUAGGAUUUCCUUUCCUUGUGAACUAGGGUAAUUCUUAUGUACAUAUAAAUAUUGAUCAAUAAGAGUGCAGAUGAUGACUGCAGUUUUGCAUCGUAGAAAUUCUUCGUAAAAUAUAUAUGUUUAUCAAAAGGCUAUACCAUUCAAUAUAUAUUGGAAAGAGAACAAAGAAGAUCUUCUUAUGGUUUGAAAAUAUUAUGAAUUCUGCUGUUGAACAGUAUGGAAACAAGGUCUGUUGUUAAAGGUGAAGAAGUCACAGGGAACAAUAUUGAAGGAAGAAAUUUCACGUUUAGUUGCUGAAUUUGCCGCUGUAUUCUAUCGGUAGUAAAAAGAUUAGAGUUUUUAUUUUUCUCUAUUAAUGUUAAGUCAAUUUUCUAUAACAAAUUCGGUUGAGUUUAAUUGUGUUACAAUAUAAAUUGAAUGAUAGUAGAAUUUUCAACGAAUAAUUCAAUAUUUCUAUCUCGAUUGUUGAAGUGCCAUUUAUUUGUUAUACGAUCGAUUUUAAAAUUUAUAAAAUUAUUUGUUACUAAAUUGCAUCAUAUGCUAAAUCACCUGAAACCUAAUUUCAUAACUAACCCUUUAUUUUUAGUUCUCAAGAAAUCUUGUAAGAACAAAAUUCUUUUGUAACAAAACGUUUACAACAAAUUAAUUUGUAACUCAUUCCUGUGCGAGAAUCACUCUCAAUUUCCUUCAAUUGCUGUUUAACAAUCAUCUGCUUAUCAAAAUUCAAGCAUAAUCUUUUUUUUUAAUUUCUUCAUCAUUCUUUUGAAAAAAAAAAUCAGGAUAUGCUGUUAAAUUUUGAAAUAAAUUAUCUCAAAAUAAUUACUAACCAGAAAAAACAAAGGGGUUUAACUAGGUUAUGCAUACCUUUGAAAAUUAUAUGUUGAUCGAUAAGAAUGAUGAUCACGAUUGACGAGUUUAAUUAAAAUAUAUAAGAUUUUAAAAUUAAUCAGGGUUAAAUUGUGAAUUUUAGAAAGAGAGGUUUUGUGAGAAUGUUGAAAGGGUGUUAAUAGUUCCACUCUUUUUAAAAACAACCAUAGUCAUCAUUUUUCCAUGGUUGUUUUUAAAAAGAGUAUUUCUUCUUCCCAUCUCCAUCUUAUUUAGAAAUUUCCCAGAGCCUUUGUUUCCCACCUUUCAUUUUUCUUCUUUCUAAUUUAAUAAUCCACCCUUCUUGUAUUCAAACUAAAAAAUUAAAAUCUGAAAAUUUAAAACCCAAUAUUAUAGUAUUAUAAAAAUAAUUACUCACAUUUUAUCAAACACCUCCAUUCUUCCAAGGCCUUGUUUUAGUAGUAGGCUUUUAUUAUCUCAAUAAAAUUGAAAAAAAAAAUCUCAAUAAUAUUGGAAAAAAACCCUACCCAUAUUUGUAACUUUAAUUUAUUAUUCUCCAUAGACCUACUUUUUAGUUUUGAAUUUUGUUGGAGCCAUAUAUAAACAGAAUAUGUUGAAAUCAGCACCCAAAAAAAAAAAAACUAAUUAUAUAAUUUAUGUUCCCAAGGACAUGGCUGAGUGAUUUUCAAGAAGUUUUGUUUGGCUGGCCACUUAGGUUUAAAUCUUGGUGGAGAUUAAGGGUUAAGAAAUAAAUUUAGACUUUGCACACCCCUUUAACUUUUAAAAAGAAAUGAAAAAAUUAAUUAAUUAAUCUUUAUUUUAUUUAUUAAAUGUCAUAAUCCUAUGCGUAUUUUAUUUGUUAUCUUUCUAUUUAAAAGACGAGGGCAGAUAAAACUGAAAUAAAUUUUUAGCCCUAUCUCCAUAUUUCAAGUUCCAUAGUUAGGUGACCAGCUAAAAAAAAUUAAUUGAAAGCUACUCCAUCAAAUUAAAAAAAUUUAUUUAUUUAAUUUGUGGAGAUGUAGAAAAUCAAACCCCAUACCUUUUCGCAUACACUGAACAUAUUUUAAUACAUGACUAUCAUCCUUUAUCCUAAAUACUACUAUAACUAAUAACAUACAAUUGAAAUAAUUAAUGUUAACACUUGGCUAUAAAUAAAGGUUUUGUGCUUGAAUCUUCACGCAUGACCUUCAUUCCUUUAUUGACUUUGCUAACACAGAUUUUGAGGCAUUAAAACUAAAUAAUAAUUGACUUUGUGGGCCGAGGAUGCCAGCAACAAGGAGACCACAAUUAUCACUUAAGUUACUCUAAUUGCCGUUGUCUUAUAUUCAUAGAAUAUUAGUAAUAAGAUUAUUGCAGAAUUUUUUUAAUAUUAAAAUUAAGUCAAUUUGUUAUAACAAAUUUAGUUGAGUUUAAUCGUGUUACUACAUAAAUUGAAUAAUAAUAGAAUUCUCGACAAAUAUUUCAAUAUUUUUAUCCCAAGCGUUGGAGUGGCAUUUAUUUGUUAUACGAUCGAUUUUAGAACUUAUAAAAUUAUUCGUUACUGAAUUGCACCAUAUGCUGCAUGACCUGAAACUUAAUAAACGGAAUGUAGCGUUGGCACCGUUACUCAACAUACUGUUACGACUUUGUGACAUUAGAAUUAAAAUCUUUUGCACAUUUAAUUUGUUUACUUCAAAAUUAAUAUUUAACAAAAUAUUUUUUUCACAUUAUCAAUGGACAAAACUCCAACGAAAAUAACUACACAAGAAAAAUGUAUGCUAGUAUUGUGUGCCAUAUCAUCUGUAAUUUUGUCAGGAUCGAACACUCUAAUUUUUAAGCAGAACUUUUUAUCAAUGGACAAACACCUCACACAGCUUGUCAGAGGCAUUAUUAUGAUAGAAAACUGUAAUGGUAUAUCUUGAAUUAUUGGUAGAAUAGUUCUUUGGAGCAAUAAAAAUAGAUAAGACAGAUGAGAAAAUUGUCAAUACCCCACCGCAAAAGCAAAAGAAAAAAAGGAAAGGAGACAAAAGAGGAAGAAGAAAAAAAGGAAAGGAGACAAAAGAGGAAGAAGAAAAAGAAAAAAGAACGAAGAAAAAAAUGGUGCCGCGCUGUAUUGGGAAGAAGAAAAAAAUUAAUAAAAUAAUAAUAAAUAAUAAAUAAUAAAUAAUAAAAUAAUAGUGCACAACAAUCAUUUGAUUGCUAUAAAUAAAGGGGCAUUUUCCUCAUUUUAUUCAUCGAAUUCUUCAGUUCCUUUCAAGCGAUUUAAGAGUCUAGUGAUUUGAGAGUUUGGGAGUAUUGUGAUUUUGAGUACUAAGUUAAAAUACUAUAAUACUUGUAACUCAUUUUCACUAGUAAAAUAUUUUUCUUCUGUCUUCGCCCGUAGACGUAGGCUAAAAGCUGAACCACGUAAUUUCUGGUGUCCCUAUGUGAUUAUGUGUCUCAUUAUUUCUCAAUUUUACUUUAGUUACGUGUCUGCUACACCCUUCAAUUUACUAACAAAAAUGGCCAAAAUUAUAUAAGUGACCCAAAUUUUUUUGCUAUUUCCAAGAAAUCCCCAAUCGGAAUAGACCAAACUAGAGGGAGGCAAGUUAGAAAUACGUUUCCUUCAUAAACAAUAACAGCGAUGAGUCGAUGACAUCGAGCCACGUCGGUAUCAAUAUUGAAUUAAAGGUGCAAUUAUUCAGCCAAUGAGCCUUACACAUCAAGAUAAAAGUCAAGAAAAUGAAAAAUUUAUCCUAAUUAAAACACUUUCUGGCUGCAUUUAGCUGUUUCUAUUUGAAGUUAAAAACAACAUUUCUUUCGUUUUGUGGGCAACUCGACUGAGUUCGCUGGCUUCUAGUGCUAGUAUGUGAAAAUAGAAGGCUAAUGAUUUAUUUGUUAUCUUUUGACAAAAAAUGUUAAAGAUAUAAUAGAUUUUCCAUGAUACAAAUGAAAAAUUAUAUCAACAUAACUUCCAAGCUACAGCAGCUAGUGUUUACCAAACACUUUGCUGUAGCUUUUAAGCUACAGCUGCCCAACCUCAAUAGGUUGAUUGAAUUUGUGGGAUAUAGAUUCCACAUAUCUCAUGACCUAUUAAUUAUACAAGUGGUUCUUGAUCAAGAACAACAUUUGCUUCCGACCCAGUAACCCAGCAACUGCUGCACUGGUCGCCACCUAUGGUGCCGACGAUAUUGCAUGGUCCAAUUAUGGCCUUGAAUGGAAAAAGUUGAGCAAAUUAUUUGUGGGCACGAUGAUAAGUAACGCAAGCCUUGAUGCUAGUUAUGGUCGAAGAAAACAAGAGGUUAAGAAUACUAUCAGAGAUAUGCAUAACAACAAAAAGGAAAAAAAAAAAAAAAGGCAUUGGCAAGUCAAUUGAUAUUGCUGAAUUGUCGAUUUCAACUUUGGCAUGUGUAAUUCAGACAUUGCGCGUUGUGGUAUGGCGCUGGCACGCUUGCAUUGCCGAGAGGACAAAUCUUGGGGCUGGGCUAAAAUUUAGGCUUGUAGAACUCAUGGUGCUAAUGGGAACGCCAAAUUUUUUUAACAUAUUUCGGUGCUUUCAUGGUUUAAUUCAAGGUAUAGAAAGGAGUGUUGAGAAUGUCAAAUAAAACGACAUUGAAUGGAAGUUGUCAAAGACAUGAUCCGCACUGAACGGCAAUGACACGGUUGGUAAAGAUUUUUUCAUAAUAUGCGUAUCUAAUUUUUGAAAAAUUGUAACCUCUGCUUCUAUAAAUAUGCUCAAUGUAUAAUGUUUUACUUAAGAAAUGAAAAACUUAAUUCUUUAUGGUAUCAGAGCGAGGCUCGUUGCUCUGUUUGUAACAAAAACAAAGAAAACUAAAUUCUUCCCACAACUAUUUUUCCACCUUUUUUUCUUCCUUAAAAGCAUUCCUAGCAUUACAGAAACCCAUGCCAAUAAAAGAACAAGCCACACAUAUGUAAAAACUUUAGUUUACAAAUCUAUCAACAUCCCCAUAAAUUUUCCCAAAAAGUGAUCUUCAAAAACCAAAAAUACCAUCAAUUUUCGCAUCUUCUAGUAAACAAACUAUAAAAGUUUCGCACUCAAACAGAGCCACACGCGCCUCCACGCGCUUCCCGGAAUCACGGCCAACCACCACGCGCCUCUGUCACCACCAACUCACCCUCAUGCGCUCCAGAUGUUGCAGAAGACGCAAAACGACGUGUCGUUUUCUUCUCUAAAAGUGCAGCAACGUGGAAAUGACUUUUUGUUUUUGCCUUAAAUUGUUUUUCCUCGUUUGAAGCUAUACAACAUUUUUCUUUCUAAACCUGUUUUUUACAAUAAAAAAAGAAAAAAAUGGAGAAAACUCCAACUGAAUCUACUCAUGUUGUCAUUCAAUCUGUUCAACCUGAUGGAGUAUUUAAUGCCGAAAUUAUCCUUACUAAGACAAACUACGAUAUUUGAUCUCAAAUAAUGGAGAUGCAUCUCGCAGAAAGAAAAAAACUCCCAUAUAUUCGUAGCAGCAUAAAUCCAUCUGACAAAUUUUCAAAGAAAUAUGAGAAAUGGUAUAGUGAGAACCAAAAAGUAAAAAGAUGGUUACUCAUAACCAUGUGUCCUGAGAUCAUGAAGCGAUAGUUACAAAUUCCUACAGCCUACGAAAUUUAGAAUGCAUUAUCAAAAGCCUUUUAUAAUGGAAGCGAUGAAAUACAAGUUUUCACUCUAAAUCAGAAGGCGUUCUCUACGAAGCAAAAUGGACAACCACUCUCUAAAUUCUACGGAGAAUUGAUCAAAAUGUUUCAAGAACUUAAUCACCGAGAUAAAGUGGUCAUGAAGGAUCCAGAAGAUGUUAUAAUAUAUAGGAAGUUUGUUGGAAGAUUGAGAGUGCACAUUUUUCUUGCUGGACUAGAUGAAGAAUUUGACCAAGUUUGUGGAGAAAUUCUACGAAAAGAUACUAUCCUAGACUUAAAAGAAUGUUAUUCUCUAAUCCGAAAAGAAGAUGUACGGCAAAGCAAACUAACAAGAAGGUGGACGACUCAGAAACGUCUGCUAUGAUACCACAAGAGAACAAUGUUUUGAAAUUGUUCGAUAUCCUGACUGGUGGGAUACUCGAAGUAAUAACACAAAGCAGAGAUAAAAAACUGCAGUAGCUGAAUCCACAUCCACUACAGAUCUUAGAAAAGAAUCUUCAGCGCAAAUUGCAACCUCUGUCAAUUCAGGUAAGGUCAUUAAAACUCUUACAUUUGUUAUUAAUAGUAUAUGGAUAAUUGAUUAUGGUGCAACUGAUCAUAUGACUUUUGAUUCUUGACAAGUUUCUUAAUUGAAACCAUCUUCACAUAAACAUGUUUCUACUGUAAAUAGAACCACAACCUCAGUUAUUGGGGAAGGAUCUUUACAACUCACAAUUAAAUCAAAUUUAGACUUUGUGUUAAUUGUUCCAUCUUUAAAUUAUAAUCUUUUAUAUGUGUCUCAAAUAACCUCUUACUUAUCAUGUGUUGUAAUGUUUUGGCCCGAUCAUUGCAUGUUUAAGGACAUCCAAAUGAAGGAAACGAUUGGUUAUGAUAUUAAAUAAGGCAACUUGUAUUACCUGGAGAUGACAUCAACAAACACUGAAAAGCUAAGCCCCGCAUUAGUAGCAGACAAUUCCAUGAAAAAAAAGGAAAUAAGAAAUUUGGUUAUGGCAUAGACGAUUAGGGCAUGUGUCAUUUGAUUUCUUAAAAAAAUUGUUUCCUAGUUUGUUUCUGAAAUUUGAUAUUUGUAACUUUAAAUAUGAUGUUUGUGAACUUUCAAAUAGCCAUCGAACUACUUUUCCAUUGUCCUUAAAUAAGAAUCCAAUUCCUUUAAUGGUAGUACAUUCUGAUGUAUAGAGACCAUCUAAAGUUUCUACCAUUGGAAGAGCUCGUUGGUUUGUUACAUUUAUUGAUGAUUGUAGCAGAAUGACAUGGAUUUUUUUAUGAAAUUAAAAUCAUAUGAUGGUGACAACUCUAUUUCAGACACAAAUUUGAGUUCUACAUACUGAUAAUGGAGGCGAGUAUAUGAGCACAACAAUUCAACAGUUUUUGAAAUCACAAUGAACUCACCACCAAACCACUUGUGUGGGGACACUCCAACAAAAUGGCGUUGCUAAACAAAAAAAUAGACAUUUACUAGAAGUUGUUCAAGCAUCACUAAUUUAGGCCCGCAUGCCACUAUUUUAUUGGGGAGAAGCAUUGGCAUCCGUAGCAUACUUGAUCAAUCGGACACCUUCAAUCUUCCUUGGAUUCCAAACUUAUUUUCUAGUUCUAAAUGAAGAAUUAUGUCAUCAAAUGUGUCGAAUUUACCCCCACAUAUGUUUGGUUGUGUUGCCUUCGUUCAUUUGCCAUGACAAGAUAAAUUAUCUCCUCGAGCACUACGUUGUGUGUUUGUAGGGUAUGCCUUACAUCAAAAGGGGUACCGAUGCUAUCAUCCUCUAUUAAGAAAAAAUAUACAUCACCAUGGACAUAAUCUUUCAUGAAGAUAUCAUGUAGUACCCAUCGGAGCUUGAAUUUCAGAGGGAGUAUAAUGAAGAGGAAAUUCAUACUCUUACAUAUCUUUCACCUGAAGAAGAUCAAUCCUCCAUUGAGGUAGUAAACGUUCAAGAUACUGGAAAAGAAAACGACAAUGAUUCUCAGGCUGAGACAAGUGAAGACACAUUUAGGGAGCAAAAUAACUCAGACAUAACCACAAUCGAGAACGAGUCCAUGAAGAGCCACAUGAAGAAAUAUCUAACCAAUCAUCUGCAGAGGAUGAUCCUACCACAAAUCCCAGUCUAAUCAGAAGAAUACUUCCCCAGCAUCAAAAUAGAGGUAUCUCUAAACCCACAUAUAAGACUGACCUCUCUAGUAGAGUCAAAUACCCUAUGAGUCAUUUUGUAUCUAACCAUGGCUUAUCAAAAUCAAAUCAGUCAUUUGUGAAUCAAUUAUCUACUGUGUCUAUUCCUAACAGUGUGCAAUAAGCCUUAAAAUAUCGAAAGUGGAAAGGGCUAUGAAUGACGAAAUGAGAUCUCUUUAAAAAAAAUCAAACAUGGGAACUAAUUGAUCUUCCACCAGGAAAGAAACCAGUGGGUUGCCGAUGGAACUAGUUGAUCAUCCACCUCCAUUCUGACAAGCAAUGUUUAUCAGCAAUAACAAAUGACUGAAGCAUUUUAAUGAGGUUAGUAACGAAAAAGAGUUUAAUUAGAGAAUAUUAUAAGAGAAAUUCUAAUUUUUGAUUUUUAAUAAAUUAAAAUAUCUUAAAAUAUUAUUAGUUGGUGGUGGUUUCAUGUCAGAUUAAGACGUGACACCUUACUAAUGAGGUCGAGACAAUUAGCUUAAAUUAUUUCAAUGCAUUUGAAAUUUCCACUAAUGACUAUAAUUCUUUGUCCUAAUUACUAUGAUAAUUAAUAACAUACAAUUGAAAUAGUUAAUAUUAGCACUUGGCAAUAAAUAAUUAAAUUUCAUUAACACUAAAUAAUAAUUGAAUAUGGCUUUGUACAUCGAUGACGCCAGCAACAAGGGGACCGCGAUUAUCACUCUUUAAGUUGCUUUUAAAAUUGAUUUUAGUAGUGAUAUGAUUAUUGUAGUGUUUUUAUUUUUUAUAUUAAAAUUAAGUGAUUUGUUAUAAUAAACUUAGUUGAGUUUAAUGGUAUUACUACAUAAAUUGAAUAGUUAUCAAAUAUUUUAAUAUUUUUAUGGCAAGCGUUGACGUGGCAUUUAUUUGUUGUAUGAUGGAUUUUAAAAUUUAUAAAAUUAUUUGUUAUUAAAUUACCCCCAGAUGCUACAUCACCUGAAACUUAAUAAAGGUAUGAAGACAUGUGUGUGUGGACUGAAAUGAAGAAUAUGGAAAAGUUGAGAGCUGUUGUGCAGAUUGAGUUCAGUUGAUGGGGUCUAUUAGAUAUUGUCUGCUGACGUGGCAUGAAUUCGUUAUAAUCUGUUAUAACGAGUUCAGUAUAUCAGUAUACAAUAGAGCUGAUGGAUGGUGCCUGUUUUAGAGUCUUUUUUAUAUUCAUUUGUUCAUCAUUUUGCGCAAGAUCUGUUCCAUUGUGAUAUGUGUAAAGUCUUAUGUAAACCCACUUAUGAUUGGAUUAGUUCUUGAUUAAUAACAACGAGUAAAUUUUCCUUCAAGUGUGCUGGUCUGUGCCCCUGUUUUUUGUUCUGAUAUUGUUUCUUUGUUCUGGCAUUUCAUUUCGAUUGUGUUCUUGGUGUUUCUACUCAUCAAGAUUUAUGAGUCUUGUUGAGAUUAAAGACUUAAUAGUCUUAACAAGUGGUAUCAGAGCCUGGUGAAUCUCAGCCAUGUCUCUUUCGAAGCAUGAAAUUGAAAAAUUCACCAUUGGUGGUGAUUUCUCGCUUUCGAAAUUAAAAAUGAGGGCUCUCCUUGUGCAUUAGAGGCUUGAAUUUGCUCUGGAAAAAGAUAAUCUAGAGGCUGCUACAAGUUAUGUGACUGAUGAUAAGAAGAGACAAAUCCAAAACCGAGCUCGUAGCACUCUAGUUUUGAGUCUUGGUGACUCAAUCUUGAGAAAGAUUUCUGAAGAGAAGACAACCUUAGGGAUUUGGAACAAGGUAGAAGCUUUGUGUACAAAGAAGUCGCUAGCUCACAGACUAUUCUUGAAGAAAAAGUUAUACACAUUCUCGAUGAGAGAAGGAGUCACAAUUCAAGAUCACAUUGAUACCUUCAACAAGAUCAUUCUUGAUCUUGAAGGGGUGGAAAAUGUGACAAUAAGUGAUGAAGAUAAAGCCUUCUUCUUGUUGAGUUCCUUACCAAAGUCUUAUGAAGGCUUUGUAGAUACAAUGCUUUAUGGCAGAACAACAUUGACUCUUGAAGAUGUUAAAGCAUCUCUAAGUUCAAAAGAGAUUCAGAAGAACAAUGAGAUUGAAACAAAUAAUGGUGAUGGGCUGAUUGCCAGAUCAGAAAAGAAGAAAGAUCAGAAGAAUAAAAAUCAGGGAAAAUGACAUGGAAAGAAUUAAGAAAAUGCAGACAAGAAGAAAAAGAAGAGAAAAUGCUUCUACUGCCGGAAGGAAGGGCAUUACAUCAGGGAUUGUCUUAAAAAGAAAAAAAAAGAAAGUCAAGAGAAGUCAGGGGAUGCAGCUGUAGCCUCUGAUGAUGCCUCUGAUGGAUAUCACAUUGCUGAUUUACUUGUGGCCUCAAAUAGCAAUACUAAAGGUCAGUGGGUCAUAGACUCUGAGUGCUCUUUUCACUUGUGGCCUGAUAAAACCAUAUUUUACAAAUAUGAAGUUGUUGAUGGUGGUAGAGUCUUAAUGGGAAAUAAUAAUGUGUGUAAUCUUGUUGGUAUUGGUUCUGUGAAGAUCAAGAUGUUUGAUGGAACUGUAAGAGCUCUACAUGAGGUGAGGCAUGCUCCUAGGCUAAAGAGAAAUCUAAUCUCUUUAGGCAUGCUAGACAGCUUAGGGUAUUUCUUUAAAUCAGAAAGUGGUGGUUUAGAGAUAAGAAAGGGGACUGAGAUAGUGAUGAAGGGGGUUAAAGAAAAUGGCUUAUAUGUAUUGUAAGGCUCAUCAGUGCUUCUUCAAAAGGGAAUUUCUGCUCUUUUUGAGGAAGAUAUAACCAAGUUAUGACAUCUUAGACUUGGUCAUAUGAGUGUCAAAGGGAUGUAAGAGCUCAGCAAACAAGGGCUACUUGGUGGGGAUAGAAUCCAGCAACUGGAAUUAUGUGAAAAUUGCAUUUUUGGCAAAGCUCACAGGUCCAAGUUUCACAAGGGGGAGCAUAUGUCUAAGCAAGUUUUGGACUAUGCACAUGCUGACCUUUGGGGGCCUGCUCAAGUCCCAUCCUUGAGUGGUGGCAGGUAUUUCAUAUCACUAAUUGAUGAUUACUCAAGGAAGAUGUGGGUCUACAUACUCAAGACCAAAGAUCAAGCCUAGGAAAAAAUUCAAGGUAUAGAAAUCUUUGGUAGAAAAUCAAUUUGGAUUCAAGCUCAAAUGCUUGAGAACUGAUAAUGGUUUGGAAUUUUGUAGCAAAGAAUUUGAGGAAUAUUACAAAAAAACAUGGCAUAAAAAGGCACAAAACAGUCAGGUUCACCCCCCAGCAGAAUGGCUUGGCUGAAAGGAUGAACAUGACCUUGGUAGAUAAGACCAGAUGUAUGUUGAUAAAUUCAAAGCUUCCAAGAAGCUUUUGGGCAGAAGCUGUCAAUACAACAAGUUGUUUGGUUAACAGAAGCCCAUAUUCUGCAAUUGGCUUCAAAACACCAGAAGAAUUGUGGAAGGAAAAACCUGUAAAUUACCAAAAUCUCAGUGUUUUUGGAUGCCCUGCUUAUCUCCACAUCAAUCAAGGCAAGCUGGAAGCUAGGGCCUUGAAAGGAGUCUUUGUUGGAUAUCCUGAUGGGGUUAAGGGAUACAUAAUCUGGUGUAGAGAGUAAGGGAAGUGUAUAGUCAGCAGGGAUGUUGUGUUUCAUGAAUUUGGAUUGCUAAAAGAAAAUGCAGAGAAUGAUACUAGACUACAAAAUGAUUCAAUAAUUAUCAAACAAUCUGGAACUUCCAAGGUUAAGGUGGAGCUGUUUGGAAAUAAAGACAGUAGAAAAGAGGUAGCUGAUUAUGAAGAGAGGACCACAGCUAAAGUUGAGGAACAUGAGUCAUCAGAGUUGCCACAAGCUGACUUGCAGACUUAUCAGUUAGCAAGAGAUAGAGUUAGAAGAGAAGUCAAAGCACUAGUGAGGUAUGGCUAUGCUGACUUAAUUACUUAUGCAUUGUUGUGUGCUGAUGAUGUGGCAAUUGAAGAGCCUGCUAACUUCUCUGAAGUUAUUGAAAGUGUGCAUUGUGAUAAGUGGCUUGAGGCAAUGCAAGAUGAAAUGGGAUCCCUUCAAAGAAAUCAGACCUGGACACUUGUUCCAAAUCUAGGUAAUAAAAAGUUGAUCAGUUGUAAGUGGAUCUUCAAGAAGAAUGAAGGAAUUCCAGAUGUUGAACCUCCCAAAUAUAAAGCAAGGCUAGUGGCUAGGGGGUUUACACAGAGAAAGAGUGUAGAUUUCAAUGAAAAAUUUUCCCCUGUUCUUAAGCACAUUUCAAUAAGAAUUUUAUUAGUCAUGGUAGCCUUACUUGACUUGGAGCUUGAGCAAAUGGAUGUAAAAACAGCAUUCCUUCAUGGUAAUCUUGAAGAACAGAUAUUGAUGGCACAACCUAAAUGUUUUGAGUGCAAAGGAAAUGAGGAUUAUGUUUGUUUGCUGCAUAAGUCCUUGUAUGGACUCAAGCAAUCCCCACGACAGUGGUACAUAAGAUUUGAUGAUUUUAUGGUCUCAAAAGGCUAUCACAUAAGCAAAUAUGACAGUUGUGUUUACUUUGGUGGAUCAUAUCAAGGUGGAGUUGCUUAUUUGCUUCUGUAUGUUGAAGAUAUGUUAAUUGCAAGAAAAUAUAAGUUGGAGAUAGAGAGGUUGAAGAAAUGAAGGAUCUCGGCAAUGCCAAAAGAAUCCUUGGGAUGAACAUUACAAGGGGCAGAUCUGCUGACACUUUGUUCUUGAGUCAUGAGAAAUAUAUCAAGAAGGUUCUGGAGAGGUUUGAGAUGCAAGACUAUAAACCUGUCCAAACACCACUUGGUCCCCAAUUCAAGUUGACAGCAGCUCAAUCAUCAGAAGAUGAGUCUCAGGUGAGUGAAUUCCCAUAUGCACAGGUUGUAGGGAGCCUGAUGUAUGUAAUGGUAUGCACCAGGUCAGAUAUAGCUUAUGCAGUAAGUGUUGUCAGCAAAUUUCUCAGUUGUCUAGGCAAGGUUCACUGGAAUGUUGUAAAAUGGAUAAUGAGAUAUCUUAAGGGCUCUUUUACUUGUGGUUUGCUGUAUGGGAAGACUAAGAGUGACAUAAGUGAAGUCCUGGGGUUUGUAGACUCUGACUUUGCUGGAGAUCUUGAUAGAAUGAAGUCAACCUCAGGGUAUAUGUUUGUGUUAAACAGUUGCCUGAUUAGCUGGAAGUCAUCACUUCAGUCUGUGGUUGCUUUAUCCUCAACUGAAGCUGAGUUUGUUGCAACUACAGAGGCAGUAAAAGAGGCCAUGUGGCUAAGAGGUUUGCUUAAUGAGUUAUGGUUAAAUCAGAAAAUUGUUCAGGUUUUCUGUGAUAACCAAAGUGUCAUACACCUGGUAAAGAAUCAGAUGUAUCAUGAAAGAACCAAGCACAUUGAUGUGAAGCUCCAGUUUAUCAGAGAUGAGGUUGGAAAAGGAACUAUAAUUGUGUCCAAGAUCUAUACCAGUGUGAAUCCAACUGAUGUUAUUACAAAAGCACUUCCCACUGCAAAAUUUGAAUUCUAUGUGAAUCUAAUGGGCAUCUCGCCCAAACCUAACUAAAUUCAAUAGUGAAUUGUAGUUGAAUGAAGGUUUUUUAGGUGCUGUGUUAUUGAAAGGAUCAACUGAAUCAACUGCAAGGUGGAGAAUGUGAAGAUGUGUGUGUGGACUGAAAUGAAGAAUAUGAAAAAGUUGAGAGCUGUUGUGCAGAUUGACUUCAGUUGAUGGGGUCUAUUAGAUAUUGUCUGCUGACGUGGUAUGAAUUCGUUAUAAUCUGUUAUAACGAGUUCAAUAUAUCAGUAUAUAAUGGAGCUGAUGGAUGGUGCCUGUUUUAGAGUCUUUUUCGUAUUCAUUUGUUCAUCAUUUUGCACAAGAUUUGUUCCAUUGUGAUCUGUGUAAAGUCUUCUGUAAAUCCACUCAUGAUUGGAUUAGUUCUUGAUCAAUAACGAGUAAAUUUUCCUUCAAGUGUGCUGGUCUGUGCCCCUGUUUUUGGUUCUAAUAUUGUUUCUUUGUUUUGGCAUUUCAUUUCGAUUGUGUGCUUGGUGUUUCUACUCAUCAAGAUUUGUGAGUCUUGUUGAGAUUAAAGGCUUAAUAGUCUUAACAAAAGGGAAUGUAGCAUUGCCAUUAAUCAACAUUCACUCUUAUGACUUUAUGACAUUAGAAUUAAAAUCUUUCGUACAUUUAAUUUAUUUGCUUCCAAAUUAAUCUUUAAUAAAUAUUUUUUCACAUUAUCAUCAAUGGACAAAACUCCAACGAAAAUAACUACACGAGAACAAUUUAUGCUAGUAUUAAAUGCCACGAUAUCUAUAACUUUGUCUGGAUCGAUCAUUCUAAUUUUUUCGCAGAACUUUUUGUCAAUGGACAAACACCUCACAGAGCUUGUCAGCCGCAUUAUUACGAUGUAAAAUUGUACCGGAAUAUCUUGAAUUAUUAGUAGAAUAAUGAAGACUAUUUGGGGCAAUAAAAACAAAUAACGCAGAUAAAAAAAUGGCUAAAAUUAUGUAAGUGAGCCCCAAAGUUUUUGCUAUUUCCAGGAAAUCCCAAAUUUGAAUGGACUAGAGGGAGGCACGUAAGAAAUACAUUUUCUUCCUAGACAAUGACAGCUAUGACAUCAAGCCACGGUGGCGUCAGUAUUGAAAUUAAGGUGUAAUUAUUCAGCCAAUGAGCCUUACACAUCAAGAUAAAAGUCAAGAUAAUGAAAAUUUGGCUGUUUCCAUUUGAAGUUAAAAGCAACGUUUCUUUCGUUUUGUGGGCGACUCGACUGAGCACGCCCCAAUAGCUAUAUUUAGGGCGUCAAUUUGAUAUUUGAAUGGACAGGCAAGUAAGAAAUACAUUUCCUUCAUAGACAAUGACAACGAGGACAUCAAGCCACAUCAUUAUAGUUUGUAGCCCAUCUACAUUUAAACGAUUAAUAAACAAGCUUAGGUGUGCCACUGCUAUUAUUAAUUAUCCCCUGAUCAUUAUAGUUUCUGAAACAGUAAAACUAAACGAAAUUGAAUACAUCAACGAGACCGCAAUUAUCACUUGUUUAGUUGCGGUAUUUAACUUAAUUUUAAUAUAAUAUAUUUGUUAGUUAAACUUUUAAUAAUCAAAUAAUUUUGAUUUAAAAAUAAAAUUAUAGAAAUUAUUAAUUAUUAAUUAUUAAAAAUUCACAAUUAAGGGAACGUUCAUCAAACACACAUAGCUAUUGUUUUCUCUAUAUAUUGCAGUGUGUACGAUAUUGAGGGUUGAAGCCCCAAGCAUGCUCUAAAAUCCAGAUAAUAAUUAGAUCCGGGCCAAAUAUUCAUCAUUGUGUCAGCUGAUCAGUCGGUGGACAUCUCUAUUGAAAAUAUCUCUGACAUUUCACUCGACAAACUUAUUAAUAUAAAAAAUCUGUGGUUUUGCCGUCUGAAUAAUGUAGAAAAAUUUGUCUAUGCAUUAAUCUAGAUGUUUGAGGUGAUUUAUACAUCUGUGGUAAAGAUUUAUAGGUUGACUUAGACGUCUGUGGUAUAGAUUUUAUGUAUUUCAUUACAAAAUGCUGGCCGUUAGAACCCUUUCUACAUCUAUUUAUAAGAUUAACGGGUGCCAGCUAUGCCAUUACAAAUUAUCCCCUCAUCAGAUAUUUCGUUAAAAUUCAUUCUGAAACACUAAAACUAAAUAAUCGAAUAUGGCUUUGCGGGUCGAUGAUGCCAGCAGCAAUGAGACUGCAAUUAUCACUUGUUUAGUUUCUGUGCUGGCCGUGGUUUACUUCGCAUGGAAUGUGAAAAAAUCAAGGAAAGCAAAUGCUACACUGCCACCAGGACCUCGCGGCUUGCCUGUAUUCGGAUACCUCCCAUUUCUUGGAACUACUGACUUGCACAAGAAAUUCACGGAAUUAUCCGGAGUUUAUGGUCCGAUCUUCAAGCUUUGGCUUGGAAAUAAAUUAUGUGUAGUGGUGAGCUCACCUUCCCUAAUUAGACAAGUGGUUCGUGAUCAAGAUACAACAUUCGCGAACCGUGACCCACCGAAGGCUGCACUAGUGGUCUCCUAUGGUGGCAAUGAUAUUGCAUGGUCCAAUUACGGUCCCGAAUGGAGAAAGUUGCGCAAAUUUUUUGUGGGCAAGAUGAUGAAUAACGCAAGCCUUGAUGCUUGUUAUGCUCUAAGAAGACAAGAGGUUAAAAAUACUAUCAGGGAUUUGUAUAACAACGACAACAAAAUUGGCAAGCCCAUUGACAUUGGUGAAUUGUCGUUUUCAACAUUGGUAUGUGCUAUACAGAACAUGCUGUGGGGUGAAGCGCUUGAAUUAAAAGAGAAAGGGACCACUAAUCUUAGGGCUGGGCUAAAAUUUAAGCUGGCAGAACUCAUGGUGCUUGCGGGAACACCGAAUAUUUCGGAUGUCUUUCCAAUGCUUUCAUGGCUUGACAUACAAGGUAUAGAGAGGAGAGCAAAGAAGAUUUCACUCUGGCUUGAUAAUGUUAUAAAUUCUACUGUUGAACAGCAUAGAAACAAGGAGUUAACUGUUGAAGGUGAAGAAAGAGCGGGGAAAAAUUUUGAAGGAUCAAGGAACAAGAACUUCUUGCAGUUACUAUUGGAGCUUCAAGAAAAUGAUGACAGUGCUUCCUCAAUUAGCAUGAACCAAUUCAAGGCCGUACUCGCGGUAUGUUAAGCAACUAGCCACGAACAGUUAUACAAGCACAAUUGUAUAUUUGCAUGAGUGAUAUUUUCAACCUUUUUUUUUAAUUAGAAUUUUAUUGUCACCUUUUGGACAGGAUAUAAUUACGGCUGGAACCGACACCACAACUACGAUGGUGGAAUGGACAAUGGCAGAGUUGAUGCAGCAUCCACAAGUAAUGAAGAAAGUUCAGGAAGAAUUAGCUCAAGUUGUGGGCAUGGACAGUUGUGUUGAAGAAUUUCACCUGUCUAGAUUAAUGUAUUUAGAUGCUGUGGUGAAGGAAACAUUUCGUCUGCAUCCUGCAGUGCCUUUAUUACUACCACGUAGGGCAAGCGAGAGUGGCAACAUUGGUGGCUAUACCAUUCCCAAAGAUACAACUCUUAUGUUGAAUGUUUGGGCUAUCCACAGGGACCCUCACCUUUGGGAUAAUCCCUUAGAAUUUCGACCCGAGAGGUUUCUGAAUGUUGGUAUCGAGAGUAAGUUCGAUUACUCAGGUAACAAUUUUCAGUACUUGCCAUUUGGUUCUGGUAGAAGGAUGUGUGCUGGGAUUCCUCUAGCUGAGAGGAUGCUGAUGUUUGUUUUGGCUUCGUUAUUGCACUCAUUCGAGUGGGAAUUGCCAACUGGCACAAAGCUAAACUUAUCAGAAAAAUUUGGGAUUGUCAUUAAGAAAAAAGAGCCUUUGGUUGCUAUUCCAACACCAAGACUAUCCAAUUCAGAGCUCUACCAUUAAGACCAAAUGGUUGUGAUGAUUUUGUUAAUUUCCGAAGAUUUGUAUGUUAUUUCAAGUUCAAUCGUAGUAAAAUAUUUCAAAUAAGAGUCCUCCGUUGCUUUUUUUUUUUUUUUUCAACGGCAUAAUCUGUGGUCAUGCUUGUAUUUGGAGCCACUUUAGAAAAAUUAUGUUUGAAUUACAAUUUAUAAAUAUUACAUUUUAAAAUAUUAUGAGGCUAAAUUUAUACACGUUCAAUAACCCGCUUCAUAUAUAUUUAACACAAUUUAUAUCAUACAUUGUACACCCAUUUAUCAUAAAUUACACUAUUUUGUAUCUCUAAAUAAUAUUACGUAUUGAUAUUAUAAAAUAUAUAUGGAAAAGAGAACAAAGAAGAUUUCUUAUGGUUUGAAAAUAUUAUGAAUUCUGCUGUUGAACAGUAUGGAAACAAGGUCUCUGUUGUUAAAGGUGAAGAAGCAACAGGGAACAAUAUUGAAGGAAGAAAUUUCACAUGUUUAGUUGCUGAAUUUGCCGCUGUAUUCUAUCGGUAGUAAAAAAAUUAGAGUUUUUAUUUUUCUCUAUUAAUGUUAAGUCAAUUUUCUAUAACAAAUUCGGUUGAGUUUAAUUGUGUUACAAUAUAAAUUGAAUGAUAAUAGAAUUUUCAACGAAUAUUUCAAUAUUUCUAUCUCGAUUGUUGAAGUGCCAUUUAUUUGUUAUGCGAUCGAUUUUAAAAUUUAUAAAAAUUAUUUGUUACUAAAUUGCAUCAUAUGCUAAAAUCACCUGAAACCUAAUUCCAUAACUAACCCUUUAUUUUUAGUUCUCAAGAAAUCUUGUAAGAACAAAAUUCUUUUAUAACAAAACUUUUACAACACAUUAAUUUGUAACUCAUUCCUGUGCGAGAAUCACUCUCAAAUUCCUUCAAUUGCUGUUGAACAAUCAUCUGCUUAUCAAAAUUCAAGCAUAAUCUUUUCUUUUUUUUAAUUUCUUCAUCAUUCUUUUGAAAAAAAAAAAUCAGGAUAUGCUGUUAAAAUUUUGAAAUAAAUUAUCUCAAAAUAAUUACUAACCAGAAAAAACAAAGGGGUUUAACUAGGUUAUGCAUACCUUUGAAAAUUAUAUGUUGAUCGAUAAGAAUGAUGAUCACGAUUGAGGAGUUUAAUUAAAAUAUAUAAGAUUUUAAAAUUAAUCAGGGUUAAAUUGUGAAUUUUAGAAAGAGAGGUUUUGUGAGAAUGCUGAAAGGGUGUUAAUAGUUCCACUCUUUUUAAAAGCAACCAUAGUCAUCAUUUUUCCCGAUUUCUUCUUCCCAUCUCCAUCUUAUUUAGAAAUUUCCCAGAGCCUUUGUUUCCCACCUUUCAUUGUUCUUCUUUCUAAUUUAAUACUAUAGGAUUACAAAAAUAAUUACUCACAUUUUAUCAAACACCUCCAUUCUACCAAGGCCUUGUUUUAGUAGUAGGCUUUUAUUAUCUCAAUAAAAUUGAAAAAACAAAUCUCAAUAAUAUUGGAAAAAAAAAACCUACCCAUAUUUGUAACUUUAAUUUAUUAUUCUCCAUAGACCUACUUUUUAGCUUUGAAUUUUGUUGGAGCCAUAUAUAAACAGAAUAUGUUGAAUCAGCACCAAAAAAAAAAAAAAAAAACUAAUUAUAUAAUUUCUGUUCCCAAGGACAUGACUGAUUGAUUUUCAAGAAGUUUUGUUUGGCUGGCUACUUAGGUUUAAAUCUUGGUGGAGAUUAGGGGUUAAGAAAUAAAUUUGGACUUUGCACACCCCUUUAACUUUUAAAAAGAAAUGAAAAAAACUAAUUAAUUAAUCUUUAUUUUAUUUAUUAAAUAUCAUAAUCCUAUGCGUAUUUUAUUUGUUAUCUUUCUAUUUAAAAGACAGGAGGGCAGAUAAAACUGAAAUAAAUUUUUAGCCCUAUCUCCAUCUUUCAAGUUCCAUAGUUAGGUGACCAGGUAAAGAAAAUUAAUUGAAAGCUACUCCAUCAAAUUAAAAAAUUUUAUUUAUUUAAUUUGUGGAGAUGUAGAAAAUCAAACCCCAUGCCUUUUCGCGUGGAAAAGUGUCAACCUGGUCUAGCUAUGUUGCAAAAGUGAACAUAUUUUAAUACAUGACUAUCAUCCUUUAUCCUAAAUACUACUAUAACUAAUAACAUACAAUUGAAAUAAUUAAUGUUAACACUUGGCUAUAAAUAAAGGUUUUGUGCUUGAAUCUUCACGCAUGACCUUCAUUCCUUUAUUUACUUUGCUAACACAGAUUUUGAGGCAUUAAAACUAAAUAAUAAUUGACUUUGUGGGCCGAGGAUGCCAGCAACAAGGAGACCACAAUUAUCACUUGUUAAGUUACUCUAAUUGCCGUUGUCUUAUAUUCAUAGAAUAUUAGUAAUAAGAUUAUUGUAGAAUUUUUUUAUAUUAAAAUUAAGUCAAUUUGUUAUAACAAAUUUAGUUGAGUUUAAUCGUGUUACCACAUAAAUUGAAUAAUAAUAAAAUUCUCGACAAAUAUUUCAAUAUUUUUAUCCCAAGCGUUGGAGUGGCAUUUAUUUGUUAUACGAUCAAUUUUAGAAUUUAUAAAAUUAUUCGUUACUGAAUUGCACCAUAUGCUGCAUGACCUGAAACUUAAUAAACGGAACGUAGCGUUGGCACCGUUACUCAACAUACUGUUACGACUUUGUGACAUUAGAAUUAAAAUCUUUUGCACAUUUAAUUUGUUUACUUCCAAAUUAAUAUUUAACAAAAUAUUUUUUCACAUUAUCAAUGGACAAAACUCCAACGAAAAUAACUACACAAGAAAAAUGUAUGCUAGUAUUGUGUGCCAUAUCAUCUGUAAUUUUGUCAGGAUCGAUCAUUCUAAUUUUUAAGCAGAACUUUUUAUCAAUGGACAAACACCUCACACAGCUUGUCAGAGGCAUUAUUAUGAUGGAAAACUGUAAUGGUAUAUCUUGAAUUAUUGGUAGAAUAGUUCUUUGGAGCAAUAAAAACAGAUAAGACAGAUGAGAAAAUUGUCAAUACCCCACCGCAAAAGCAAAAGAAAAAAAGGAAAGGAGACAAAAGAGGAAGAAGAAAAAGAAAAAAGAACGAAGAAAAAAAUGGUGCCGCGCGGUAUAGGCAAGAAGAAAAAAUAAUAAUAAAAUAAUAAAAUAAUAGUGCACAACAGUCAUUUGAUUGCUAUAAAUAAAGGGGCAUUUCCCUCAUUUUAUUCAUCGAAUUCUUCAGUUCCUAAGCGAUUUAAGAGUCUAGUGAUUUGAGAGUUUGGGUAUAGUAUAGUUUUGAGUAGUGAGUUAAAAUAUUACAAUACUUAUAACUUAUUUUUACUAAUAAAAUAUUUUUCUUCUAUCUUCACCCGUGGACGUAGGGUCAAAGCCGAAUCACAUAAUUUUUAGUAUCCCUAUGUGAUUAUGUAUCUCAUUAUUUUUCAAUUUUACUUUAGUUACGUGUCUGCUACAUCCUUCAAUUUACUAACAAAAAUGGCCAAAAUUAUAUAAGUGACCCAAAUUUUUUUGCUAUUUCCAAGAAAUCUCCAAUCUGAAUGGGCCAGACCAGAGGGAGGCAAGUUAGAAAUACGUUUCCUUCAUAGACAAUAACAGCGAUGAGUCGAUGACAUCGAGCCACGUCGGUAUCAAUAUUGAAUUAAAGGUGCAAUUAUUCAGCCAAUGAGCCUUACACAUCAAGAUAAAAGUCAAGAAAAUGAAUAUUUAUCCUAAUUAAAACACUUUCUGGCUGCAUUUAGUUGUUUCCAUUUGAAGUUAAAAGCAACGUUUCUUUCGUUUUGUGGGCAACUCGACUCAGUUAGCUGGCUUCUAGUGCUAGUAAGUGAAAAUAGAAGGCUAAUGAUUUAUUUGUUAUCUUUUGAUAAAAUUAUUAAAGAUAUAAUAGAUUUUUCAUGAUACAAAUAAAAAAUCACAUCAACAUAGCUUCCAAAGUACAACAGCUAAUGUUUACCAAACACUUUGUUGUAGCUUUUAAGCUACAGCUGCCCAACUUUAAUUUCAAAUGCACCCUUAAUAGGUUGAUUGAAUUUGUGGGAUAUAGAUUCCACAUAUCGUAUGACCUAGUAACUAUACAAGUGGUUCGUGAUCAAGACACAACAUUUGCUUCCGGCCCGGUGACCCAGCAAUCGCUGCAUUGGUCGCCACCUAUGGUGCCAACGAUAUUGCAUGGUCCAAUUGUGGCCUUGAAUGGAAAAAGUUGAGCAAAUUAUUUGUGGACACGAUGAUAAGUAACGCAAGCCUUGAUGCUAGUUAUGGUCCAAGAAAACAAGAGAUAUGCAUAACAACAAAAAGGAAAAAAAAAAAAAAAAAAAAAAAGGCAUUUGCAAGCCCAUUGAUAUUGGUGAAUUGUCGAUUUCAACUUUGGCAUGUGUAAUCCAGAGCCUGCGCGCUGUGGUGUGGCGCUGGCACGCUUGCAUUGACGAGGGGACAAGUCUUGGGGCUGAGCUAACAUUUAAGCUCGCAGAACUCAUGGUGCUAAUGGGAACACCAAAUAUUUUUUGACAUAUUUUGGUGCUUUCAUGGUUUAAUUCAAGGUAUAGAAAGGAGUGUUGAGAAUGUCAAAUAAAACGGUAUUGAAUGGAAGUUGUUAAAGACACGAUCCGCACCGAACGACAACAGCACGGUUGCUAAAAAUCCUUCCGUAAUAGGCAUAUCUAAUUUUUGAAAAAGUGUAACCUCUACAUUUAUAAAUAUACUCAAUGUAUAAUGUUUUACUUAAGAAAUGAAAAACUUGUUUGUUCAAGGAGAAUAAAGAAAAAUUUUCUAUGAUUUUUCUAUGGUUUGAACAAAGAAGGUUUUAACGAGUAUUAUAGACCUCGAUUGAAUGUUCGAA